GAGGAUGAGGUAAAGAAUAAAGUCUUUCCUUUAUCUUUGAAGGAUAAGGCGUUGACAUGGUAUAGGCUAUGUGAUGAUACUGGAUCAUGGGACUACAAUCGGUUGAAAUUGGAAUUUAUCAAAAGUUCUAUCCUAUGCAUUUAGUACAUCGUGAUCGGAAUUAUAUUUAUAACUUUUGGCCUCGUAAUAGGGAAAGCAUAGCUCAAGCAUGGCGGAGGCUUAAAUCAAUGCUAUAUUCAGGCCCCAAUCAUGAGCUCUCGAGAGAAAUAUUCACUCAAAACUUUUAUGCUCGGCUUUCGCAAGAAGAUCGUACCAUGCUUGAUACUUCUUGUACCGGUUCUUUUAUGAAGAAGAAUAUUAAUCACAAGUGGAAUUUAUUGGAAAGAAUCAAACGCAACUCUGAAGAUUGGGAGCUUGAAGAAGGUAAGGAGUCAGGUAUGAAUUUCCAGUUUUAUUACGUUAAAUCUUUUGUUGAAACAAACACUUCUAGAGAUUUUAGCGCUAAGUAUGGACUUGACUCUGAGAUAGUAGCUUCUCUAUGUGAAUAUUUUGUUGCUCAUGUUGAUCUUCCCAAAGAGAAGUGGUUUAAGUAUCAUCCCCUAUAGAAAUCAACAUAGUUAAACCCAAUCUAGUUGAGGAGAAAGUCAUUGCUUUUAGUGAUCCUGUUGUUCCUUGUGCCUACUCUGAGAAACCACCUUACCCUGCUAGGAAAAAGGAUUAUUCUAAAGCUCCAACUGUGAUAUGUAGGGGUUACAUUAGACCACUUGCACCCCCUGAGGAAAUUAGAGUUGAACCUAGUGUUGCUAUUAUCAAAGAUCUCUUAUCCGAAGACAUAGACGGUCAAGUUAUCAAAUUCUGUGAGGACUCUGCUAGAAUUGCUAAACCUCACAUGAAAGACAAAUACGGACCUGUAGUUGGCCUGCCCGUUGUUUCUGUCAAGAUAGGAGAUCACUGUUACCAUGGUUUAUGUGAUAUGGGUGCUAGUGUUAGUGCAAUACCCCAUUCCCUAUAUGAUGAAAUCAAAGAUGAGAUCGCACCUGCUGAGUUAGAACCCAUUGAUGUCACUAUUACGCUAGCUAAUAGAGACACUAUGUGCCCUCUGGGAAUUGUGAAAGACGUAGGAGUCCUGUGUGGUAAGACGAAGUAUCCUACUGAUUUCCUCGUCCUUGCUACUGCACAAGAUAGCUUUUGUCCCAUCAUAUUCGGUAGACCCAUUCUCAACAUUGUCAAUGCUCACAUUGAUUGCAUUAAGCAGACUGUCACUGUUAGUUUCGAGGGUGUGUCUCAUGAAUUUAACUUCUCCAAGUUUGGAAGACAACCCCAUGAAAAAGAGUCGUCUGGUAGGGAUGAAACCAUUGCUCUUUCCUCUAUUGCCGUGCCUCCUACGGAUCCUUUAGAGCAAUACCUGCUUGAGCAUGCAAAUGAUAUGCAUAUGGAUGAAAGAGAUGAGAUAGAUAAAAUUGUCUUAGAACAAUAUCCUAUUCUCAAGAAUAAUCUGCCUGUUGAACUGCUUGGGGAUCCUCCCCCACCGAAGGGUGAUCCUGUGUUCGAGAUUAAACAGUUGCCUGAUACUCUUAAGUAUGUCUAUCUUGAUGAGAAGGAGAUAUAUCCUGUUAUUAUUAGUGCUCUCCUCUCGAGUCACAAAAAGAAGUUACUAAGAACUUUGAGGAAGCAUCGUGCGGCUAUUGGAUAUACUCUUGAUGAUCUUAAGGGUAUUAGUCCCACUCUAUGUGAGCACAAGAUUAAAACUGAUCCUGACUUCAAACCAGUUCCUGAUAAUAAAGGAGAUUAAAUCCUAAGAUGAAAGAGGUCGUGAGGAAAGAAAUAUUAAAGCUUCUGGAAGCAGGAAUCAUUUAUCCUGUUGCUCAUAGUGAUUGGGUAAGUCCAGUACAUUGCGCACCUAAGAAGGGAGGUAUCACCGUCGUUCCUAAUGAUAAGGAUGAACUAAUCCCACAGAGGAUUAUUACUGGCUAUAGGAUGGUGAUAGACUUCCGGAAACUAAACAAGGCAACAAGGAAACACCAUUAUCAUUUGUCGUUUAUCGACCAAAUGCUAGAAAGGCUAUCCAAACACACACACUUUUGCUUUCUAGAAGGUUAUUCAGGUUUCUCGCAAAUACCUGUUGCACAAUCUGACCAGGAGAAAACUACUUUCACAUGCCCCCUUCUGUACCUUUGAUUAUAGACGUAUGCCUUUUGGCUUAUGCAAUGCACCUGCCACCUUUCAAAGAUGUAUGAUGGCUAUAUUCUCUGACUUUUGUGAAAAUAUUGUCGAGGUUUUCAUGGAUGACUUCUCCGUUUACGGGUCUUCCUUUGAUGAUUGCCUCAGCAACCUUGAUCGAGUAUUACAGAGAUGCAAAGGUACCAACCUCGUCUUGAAUUGGGAGAAGUGCCACUUUAUGGUUAAUGAAGGCAUCAUCUUAGGACACAAAAUCUCUAAGAAAGGCAUUGAAGUUGAUAAGGCUAAGGUUGAUGCAAUUGAGAAAAUGCCUUGCCCCACAGAUAUCAGAGGUAUACGAAGUUCCCUAGGUCAUGCUGGUUUCUAUAGAAGGUUCAUUAAAGACUUCUCUAAGAUUUCUAGGCCUCUUACCAACCCCUUGCAGAAGGAUGUUCCUUUUGUUUUUGAUGAGGAUUGUGAGGAAGCUUUCGAAAUACUUAAGAAGGCUUUGAUAACCGCACCUAUUGUUCAACCACCUGACUGGAACUUUCCCUUUGAAAUCAUGUGCGACUCUAGUGAUUAUGCUGUUGGUGUUGUUCUAGGACAAAGAGUUGACAAGAAGUUGAUUGUUAUUCACUACGCUAGUAAAACUCUAGACAGUGCCCAAAGAAACUAUGCCACUACGGAAAAGGAGUUUUUAGCAGUCGUGUUUGCAUGUGAAAAGUUCAGAUCUUAUAUAGUUGACUCCAAAGUCACUAUUCACUCUCAUCAUGCUGCUAUUAAGUACCUUAUGGAGAAGAAGGACACUAAGCCUAGGCUAAUCAGAUGGGUUCUCCUGCUACAGGAAUUUGAUUUGGACGUUGUUGACCGAAAGGGUGCUGAUAACCCUGUAGCAGAUAACUUUUCCAGGCUAGAGAAUGUCCUUGAUGACCCACUACCUAUUGAUGACAGCUUCUUGAUGAGCAAUUGAAUGUCAUCCGCACUUCACAUAGCGCACCGUGGUAUGCUGAUUAUGCAAACUAUAUCGUAGCCAAAUACAUACCACCUAUUUUCACCUAUCAGAAAAAGAAGAAAUUCUUAUUUGAUUUGAGACACUACUUUUGGGAUGAUCCUCACCUUUAUAAGGAAUGCGUAGAUGGUGUUAUUAGACUUUGUGUGCGUGAACAUGAACAGGGACAGAUCCUGCAGAAGUGUCAUUCCGAGGCCUACGGAGGACACCAUGCUGGAGAUAGAACUGCUCAUAAGGUAUUGCAAUCAGGUUUCUAUUGGCCCACUCUCUUCAAGGAUGCCCGUAAGUUUGUCUUGUCUUGUGACGAAUGCUAAAGAAUAGGGAACAUCAGUAAGCGUCAGGAAAUGCCUAUGAACUAUUCACUUGUCAUUGAACGGUUUGAUGUGUGGGGCUUUGAUUAUAUGGGACCCUUCCCGAGUUCCAAUGGUUAUACUCACAUCUUAGUCGCUGUUGAUUAUGUCACUAAGUGGGUGGAAGCUAUCCCCACUAGAAAUGUUGAUCAUCACACCUCUAUUAAGAUGCUUAAAGAAGUCAUUUUCCCAAGAUUUGGAGUCCCUAGAUAUCUGAUGACUGAUUGCGGUUCACACUUUAUUCAUGGUGUUUUCCGCAAGAUGCUUGCUAAUUAUGAUGUCAACCAUAGAGUUGCAUCUCCUUAUCAUCCUCAGUCUAGUGGUCAAGUGGAGUUGAGUAAUAGGGAGAUCAAAUUGAUCCUACAAAAGACUGUCAAUAGAUCUCGGAAGAAUUGGUCUAGUAAACUUGAUGAUGCACUAUGGGCUUAUAGGACUGCUUAUAAGAAUCCCAUGGGCAUGUCGCCGUAUAAAAUGGUUUACGGUAAGGCCUGUCAUUUACCUCUUGAGCUGGAACACAAAGCUUAUUGGGCAAUCAAAGAGCUCAACUUCGAUUUCAAACUUGCCGGUGAGAAGCGGUUGUUUGAUAUCAGCUCAUUAGAUGAAUGGAGGGCCCAGGCAUAUGAGAAUGCCAAGUUGUUCAAGGAAAAGGUUAAGAGAUGACACGAUAAAAGAAUACAGAAACGAGAGUUUAAUGUAGGUGAUUAUGUCCUGAUGUACAAUUCUCGCUUAAGAUUCUUCGCAGGCAAGCUUCUCUCUAAAUGGGAAGGUCCUUACGUUGUCGAGGAAGUAUAUCAUUCUGGUGCCAUCAAAAUCAAUAACACGGAAGGAAAUUUUCCUAGAGUGGUUAAUGGGCAAAGAAUCAAGCAUUAUAUCUCCGGUACUCCCAUAAAUGUUGAGAUCAGUAUCAUCAAUAUCAUAACUCCAGAGGAGUACAUAAGGGAUGUUUAUCAGCCUGUUUCAGACCCUGAAAAUGAAGAGGUAUAUAUUUCGGCAAGUAAUUGGACUCCAAAGCUUUUCCAAUAGGAAAUUUCCUCCGUUUCGGAAUUUUUGGAAAAUUAGAAAAAUAAAAAACAGUCCGGAGAGCGCACGAGGCAGCCACAAGCUUGGUAGCCGCCACCUACCCCCCUGGCGGCGGCUACAGGGCUUGCGGGCACCUCUUUUGCCUCCCGGACUCCGUUUUCUUGCGGAGCACUCCUUCUGGUCCAGAAAAAAUCAUUAUAUAUACGCCCGAGGGUUUUAAUCUCCAUAUCGCGCAGUUUUCCUCUGUUUUUGUUUUGAGCCUUUUGUCUGCCGCAGAUUUAGGUCAAGAUAUCUUCUCAAGAUUCAGAAGAAGAGAUCUAUGUGGCUGAUGAUCGUGCUAAAUCCAGGAUUAAUGGGGACUUGGAACCAUAUGGCUGGACCACUGACGAGGAAGAGGACAAUGAGCCCAAGGGGAAGGAACAAACGAGUUCUGAUGAAGAGGAGGCUCCUUUACCUCAACCUGCAAACACCCAUGUGGAGUUCAAGAAGUCAAGCCUCCCCAACUCCAGGAAGAAACCUAAGACCAUAUUUAUCCCCUCUCAUUUCUUGCAGGAGAGUAAGCAAGAAAUUUGCCAUAGAGUGUUGAAACUUGAGGAGGAAAAUGACGAUCUAAGGGAGCAGAACUUUUUGCUCAAGUGGAAAAUAGACAAGCUCAAGACUGCUUCAACAACUCCACCACCAUCACCACCAAAGGAAGACAACUAAGCAUUGGUAUGGUCUAUCCCCUUGGCUUUUGCCAAGCUUGGGGGAGUUUCCCUGGUAUCGUAUCACCUUUAUAUCUUUUGCUUUUACCUUUGUUUUAGUUCUUUCCUUUUCAGUUUUUAUUUCUUCGCUUAGUGGAAUAAGUCUUUAGUGUCUAGUUUGAGUCUUUUGCUUUGUGUCUCCCCCGAUGUAUUCGAGCUUGCGAGCUAUAUAAUAAAGAGUAUCUUAGUCAAGGGCUUUGUUUUGUGCCGCGAUCAAAAGUAUGAAAAGAACGAUAACAUGAAAGAUCAUGAGAUGAUCUUAUGGAAAGUGAUAGCUUCACAUAUAACAAGUCUGAUGAUUGAAACUUGUUGAGAAUAAACCAACAUAGACCUCAAUCAUUGUUGCAAUUAAUAAGAAGAAAUAAGGAAAGAGAGGUUCACAUAUAAAUAUAUCAUCUUAGACACGUUCUAUAAUUGUGAGCACUCACCAAACUAUUACAUGCUUAGAAGUAGAUGUUGGACAAGGAAGACAACAUAAUGAAUUGUGUUUGCUUGGUUCCAAAAAAUGUUAUAUGAUUAGAGAUCCCUUAGCAUGUGACGAUUGCUUCCACCUCAUAUUAGCCAAAACUCCCGCACCAAGUAGAGAUACUACUUGUGCAUCCAUAAACCUCCAACCCAGUUUUGCCAUGAGAGUCCACCAUACCUACCUAUGGAUUGAAUAAGAUCCCUCAAGUAAGUUGUCAUUGGUGCAAGCAAUCAAAAUUGCUCUCUAAUAUGUAUGAUCUAUUAGUGUGUGGAAAAUAAGCUUUAUACGAACUUGUGAUGAGGAAGACAUAAAAGUGACAAACUGCAUAAUAAAGUUCUUUAUCACAGGAGGCAAUAUAAAGUGACGUUCCUCCGCACUAAGAUGACACGCAUCCAAACCUCAAAAGCGCAUGACAACCUCUGCUUCCCUCUGCGAAGGGCCUAUCUUGUACCUUUACUUUUUGCCCUUGUAAGAGUCAUGGUGAUCUUCACCAAUUCCCCAUUUUUCCUUUGUCUUGGCUGCCGUCACAUGCUUGGGAAAGAUCUAUAUUCAUAUAUCAACUUGGAGAUGAGCACUUAUGCUUUAUUAUUGUUGACUUUACCCUUCAGGUAAAAGGUUGGGAGGCAAAACUAUUAGCCCCUAUCUUCCUUUGUGUCCACCUGAAACUUUGAUACCAUGGGUACCACGUGAGUUGUAACAAUUGUGGAAAACAAAAGAGAUGAUUGAGUAUGUGGGUUUGCUUUACAAGCUCUUAUUUGACUCUUUCUGAUGUCAUGAUAAAUUGCAAUUGCUUCAAUGACUAGGGAAUGUUGUUGGUUACUUCUCGGUAAGGUUUUUGCUUCAUACUUUGCUUUGUGAAGGAAUUGUUACUUUCCCAUAAGAAUCUUUAUGAUGUAUUGUUGUUCUAUAUAUGAUCUUGAUGCCCUCAUGUCCGCAUUAUGUUUUAUCGACACCUUCAUCCCUAAACGUGUGGACAUGUUUAUGGAUCUUGGUUUUCGCUUGAUUACAAGCGAUGUCUAAGCUUGGGGGAGUUGAUACGUCCAUUUUGCAUCAUGCUUUCAUGUCGAUAUUUAUCUUUAUGGGUUGUUAUAUUACCUUGUGGUACCUUACUUAUGCCUUUUCUCCCUUAUUUUGCAAGGUUUAUUUGAAGAGGGAGAAUACUGGCAGCUGGAAUUCUGAACUGGAAAAGGAGCAAGUCUGAGUCCUCUAUUCUGCACAACUCCAAAUGUCCUGAAAAUCAACGUGGAAUUUUUUGGGAUUAUAUAAAAAAUACUGGGUGAAAGAAGUACUAGAGGGGAGCUACCAGGGGCCCACAAGCCUGGUAGCCGACACCCCCCUGGUGGCGGCUACAGGGCUUGUGGGCUCCCUGAUGGCCCACUGGCCCCCCUCUUUUGCUAUAUGAAGGGUUUCGUUCCAGAAAAAUCAAGAGGGAGAUUUUUUGUGGUUUCGCCGCUGCCACGAGGUGGAACUUGAGCAGAUCCAAUCUAGAGCUCCGGCACGACGAUCCUGCCGGGAAAACUUCCCUCGUGGAGGGGGAAAUCGUCGCCUUCGUCAUCACCAACACUCCUCUCGUCAGAGGGGAGGCAUCUUCAUCAACAUCUUCAUCAGCACCAUCUCCCCUCCAAUCCCUAGUUCAUCUCUUGUAACUAAUCUCCGUCUCGCGACUCCGAUUGGUACUUGUAAGGUUGCUAGUAGUGUUGAUUACUCUUUGUAGUUGAUGCUAGUAGGAUUACUUGGUGGAAGAGUUUAUGUUCAAAUCCUUGAUGCUAUUCAUUACACCUCUGUUCAUGAUUAUGAUUAUGCUUUGUGAGUAGUUACUUUUGUUCCUGAGGACAUGGGAUAAGUCAUGCUGAUAAUAGUCAUGUGAAUUUGGUAUUCGUUCGGUAUUUUGAUAUGUUGUAUGUUGUCUUUUCCUAUAGUGGUGUUAUGUGAACGUCGACAACAUAACACUUCACCAUAUUUGGGCCUAGAGAAAGGCAUUGGGGAGUAGUAAGUAGAUGAUGGGUUGCUGGAGUGACAGAAGCUUAAACCCCAGUCUAUGUGUUGCUUCGUAAGGGGCUGAUUUGGAUCCACUAGUUUAAUGCUAUGGUUAGACGUUGUCGUGGGUAUAAGUCUCACAGUAGAUGUAUAGGGUACGAAAGGAUGGGCAGAGCCUUAGCUACGGCGAGGUUGUAUGAGUUCGGGCCCCUCUACGGUGGAGGUAAAAGCCCUACGUCUCAGUGCUCUUGGGAGCUUGAUGUCGAGUGGAAUAUGGAUUACAGUGAUUUGCUAACCCCUGCACCAGUGGGGAAGGGCGGCUUAUAUAGAGUGCACUGCCCUUCACAACGGUUCGGUGCACAGGGGUGGAGUAGUGGCGAAUAAAUGCCUACGUUACAGGUAACAUAUGCUUUAAAUGCUAAUAAAGGUACAUGAAAACGUAUGACCGUUGCCCUCCAGGGGGGCUAGGAUGUACAAAGUGGAAUCCAGUCGGUAAGUUUGAUACGCUCCGAAUGCUCAUCUCCGACUGGAUGAUGGAGGAGUCGUCACCGACUGGAUGAUGGGAAGUCCUUAAUUCAGUCGGAACUGACUAAGGGCCUUGUCCCUUACGAAGGGUAGUCCUUAGGUAGGACCUAUAGGGCAGGCCUAUGACCCUACCCUAGGACUAUAACCCCAUCAUUAGUCCCCGAAUGGAUCGGGGUUGGAAUGACGAAGCGAUGCUUGGAGUACGGAUCCGACUGGUAUGGAUGCGACUUUGGCGUUGUUUGGCUCGAUCCAUUUUAUCCUCUUGAUCAGUGAUCCGAGUGGUUAUAUCUGUGAAACGAACCGUCAGAGACCGAGUGCUUCCGUGGAAUCUUUUGACGUGACCGGUCAACUGACAGCGGCGGAUUUUCUGGGAUCCUCAAAUUUCGGUUGCCGCGCGUUCAGCGGGGAUGACAACAUCGUCAUCGAGUAGUAUCUGCCGCCUCGAUUUCCGCGCCUUCAUCUCCACCACUAAUAUCGCAGCAGCCGGUCGGGGGAUAAGAUUUCGGGGCCACCUGUUAGUGACCCAGUCGGAACCUUAUUUAAACCUCUCCAGCGAGGGUUUCUCGUUGCACUCGCCUGAUAACUCGCAGUCGCCCCGCUUCUCCCGUGGUUUCCUGCGCACCCCAAGCUCCUUCCUUCGUCUCCUCCCCCGCGGAUCUACAGCCUCCACCAUGACGAAGGGGCAGAUGAGCAAGCUCGAGGCGCGGAAGAAGAAGAAGGCGUUGGCUCCUGCUCAGCGGCGACAGCGGGCCCUGCCGGCAGGUUGGAUCCACGGGGAUUUCCUCCCCUCCACGGUGACGCUGGCGGACAUGCUGGAGCUCGUGGAGCAAGGCAUGAUCGAGAACAAGACGUGGAGGCUGCCGGCGGAGGGCGAGACGGAGCCGGCGCCCCAGGAGGGGGAGCACGUCUUGCUGCUCAGUCACGUGUACCGAGGCUUCUCUCUGCCUCCUCAUCCCUUCUUCAGAGGUAUAAUGAACCACUUUGGGGCACAGCUCCACCAUUUUCCUCCCAACGCAAUAGCCCAUCUCUCUGCCUUCGUCGUGCUUUGCGAGUGUUUUAUCGCUUGUCCUCCCCAUUGGGGGCUCUUUAAGCACAUCUUCUCCGCUAGAUCCCAAACCAUCAAAAGACUUAGCCAGUCGGACGACAAAACUCAUCUUCUCCAGCUCUGCGGAGGCUUAGGCUUCCAGAAGAAAAGCAAAAGUAGCUAUCCCGCUCUUCAGUUGUCUGAAUCCGUUAGGAACUGGCAGUCGACUUGGUUCUACUACCAGGACGUCGCUUGUCCGAAUGCCGCAACUGGACUGCCACCUUUUAGCCUAGACCGACCGGCUCCGCCUAGGCAGCUUGCGCUCAUGAAGAUGGAAAAGAUCCAGAUUCAGCCUCUGGUCGACGCGCUGGUAGAUGUCGUCCGCAAGGGAGUCACCGGCAUAGAUUUGCUGGAGAUUUUUCUGGGUCGGCGUAUCCAGCCUUUGCAAGCUCGACACCACGCCAUGUGGCACUACACGGGGCCUGAGGACUCCACUCGGACUCACCCCGAGUGCAUGACCGGGGAGGUUGUGACGGCGUGGGUCCGCAGCAUCACAGGCGCCUGCGAUAACCCCAGAGGAGCCCGGCGAGUGAAGCCCUUCCACGCGGAAAACCCUCCUCCGAAUGAGGUGAGUAUAACUUGUCGAGUGCUCACAAUUGUCUUAGAUUUAUCGCUUUUUCUUGUAUCACUGACUGACGUCUGAUGUUGUCGACUGUAUCUCGUGCAGGCGUGGACCAACUGGUUUUCCCCCGUCUCGAACGGGAAUCCGGCUGAGGAAGAGGAAGGCAUCCAGGAGGGCAGGGUGGAGAGCGUCGAGUACGUCUCCGACAGUGGGGAGAUGGAGGAGGAGUCCGAAGAGUAAGAGGGGCAAGAUGAGGAACAGAACUCGCCACCCCCACCACCAGGGCCUCAAACUAAGCGCCGUCACGAACCCGUGACCUCGUCGGCUCCUCCAGCGGCCUCGAGUGCCCCGCCAACUACUCCCGUGGUUCCGAGUGCUCGGAGCACAAAGAGGACCAGGGACUGUGCUGCUGAGCCCGUGGGCCAGCCUUCUAAGGUGGCCAAACCGAGUGGAUCCAAGCCUCGGAAGGCUUUGCCGCGGAUGAGGAUCGCCGUUCCCGUUUACUCAGCGUAAGUGUAUUGUUCUCCUAUCUUCUUCCAGUAUUUGAUUGAACUCAUGCUUAUUGGUCGAGUGAAUUUUACUCGGCAGAGCUGCCACCUUCGCCACUUCUCUGCCACGCCAGGAAGACGAUCCCAUGGAUACGGACAAGGUUGCCACAUCCCAGCAAGGUAUGUCGUGGCGACUCUGAGAGCUUACAUUAUUGUUUCACGAAUUCUGUCUUUGAUCUUGCCCUUUUUCUUGUGGUCUCACGUCGUUCGGUCGGGCUUCCUUCAGAGGUGAUUCAUGUGGAGGAGGACGACCAGAAGAGGUCCGAGCAAGCUGCGGUGCCUGUCCUUGAGGCUGUUCCAUCUGCUACUACUCCUGCCAUGGACGCGCCGCCAACCGAGACGAUGCCGUCGACCGAAACAGCGCUCAUCGCUGAUGAACCGACUGGAGCAGGACUUGGGAUGCCCAAGGAGUCUCUUGUGGUGCCAGGUCCGUCGACCGUCUAGUACGACGCCCAGCGCCUCCCAGAAGAUCAGGUGGGAGCUGCCAAGGGGGCCAUGGUGCAGAUGGAGUUGAUGGCGGGUGAAGCUAAGAGUGCGUACGACUCCAUCGCAUCUGUGUACAAGUGAAGCUUGGAACUCCGGGACGAUAUCCGAGUAAGUGGGCUAGUAAGUAUUUACUUUCCUCUUGUAACCCACUGGGUGUUUAAGCAAUAUACUCAGAUACAGUAUGAUUAUUUUGCAGUGGGUUCACUCUUAGUGAACCCAGUGGGUGUAGUCCCCGAGACUUCUGUCGAGUGCUUGCACCGGCAGUUGUCUUUAUACACAUUUUCUUUAACUUGAUCAGAUCAAAACUAAUCUGUUCGAAUGUUAUCGGUGGGGGCACUCCGAGUGCACCUACUGGAAGUAGUCCCCGAGAGUAAUUUUACUCAGGUCGGGUAGUAGUAGCCUCAUAGGCUUGUUUUUUGUUAUGUAGCUCAAUAGGGCGGACCUGUUUGAGCUUCAUGCCAGUGGGGUCACUCUUAGUGAACCCACUGGGUGUAGUCCCCGAGACCGCUCUCGACUGCUUGCAUCGGCAGGGGUCUGAAGAACUUCGAGCUUUUAUUGUUUUCCUUGUUGAAUUGGUCUGAUCUUCUCUUCACGCUGAUUUGCAGAAGACUUGCGAGAUGGGAUCAGCGUACAACACUCUGAAGGCUGAAAAGAUUCAGCUUGCUGCGGAACUGGAGGUAGCUAUGCAUGACUUGGCUGGUGUGAAGGGCGCUCUGGCUGAAUGAGAGAAGUCCUUGGAGGAGUCCCGUGAGGCAAACAAGGCAUUGGUGGCCGAAAUGGAGAAAAUGGGGAAAUAAAGAACUGAGCUGAUGGGUCAGAUGAGGUCGUUGAACAGUCGGUGCAUAUCGCAAGAGAAGUACGUCAGUGACUGGGCUAGGAAGAUGAUUGCGUUGCUCGGUGGUAAGUUUAUUCCGAGUGCUUCUUGACUGUGUAUUUCAUUCUGCGCUUACUUUCUUCUCGUCUUGUCUUUGCAGAUUUUUGUAUGGACGCUGAGGCUGAAGCAGCUGACGUUGAGCGGUCGGUUAUUCCGAACGUUCCACUCGGCGACGACGCCAAUCGAGACAUGCUCCGAGCGCGCAUUCGCCUGGGAAAAGUGGGACCUUUCAUCGGUCGUCUGAGAGAGGUCAUCGGCCUAAUCGACAAGGAGUUGUGGCCCGAAGACGAGUCCCGGUGGGAGAUGGAAGGGUUGAUGACUCGGCUGGAGGACGUCCCGAACCGAGUGCAGGCGUGGAAGAAGUCUGCUGCUCGCUGUGGUGCGGUCGUGGCGCUGUCGCUGGUCCGAGUGCACUGCAAGGAGGCUCGCGAAGAGAAGCUGAAGGUGCUGCAGGUCGCCAUCGCGAAGAAGCUUCGAUUCGAAGAUUUCAUGGAGACCUUCCUUGAGAGCGCCAGUCGCAUCGCAGACGGGAUCGACCUCGACACUUUCAUGGAGCCUGCCAGUCCCAGUGCUAGUCAUGACGACGCUUGAAAGAACUUUACCUCGGUAUGCCGAGUGGUAGUUGUAUCAAACUUUGGCCGCUGCUGUUGGCCGUCAUAUUCGUGGUUCGGUGUGGAUAAGCUUGAUCUACACCGAACCGACUAUCUUUAAACCAACUUGGAAUUUGAAUCGAAUAUUUUGGUCUUCCUUUGCCAAAGAAUUGUUGACACGAUUUUGGCUCAUGGUUUUUGUUUGGCGUUUCUUGGUGAAGCGAGUGGCAAACAUGCGGAGCAUGUAGUUGUCAUUUGUCUUGACAUGUGCAUGAGCCUCAAUGAGGGUCUGCUAAGUUUCCGAGUGGAUCUCUAGGAUACACGGGAAGGCAAUUGUUUACUUAGGCGAUUCAUGACCGCAGCUAAGUUUUUGAGCGCGACUGUAAGGUCGUACUCGGAGCGAGUUGCUACUCAUGUAAUUGUCAGUUGUCUUGACAUCUACAUGAGCCUCAAUGAGGGUCUACUACUCGUGUAAUUGUCAGUUGUCUUGACAUCGACAUGAGCCUCAAUGAGGGUAGUUGCUACUCAUGUAAUUGUCAGUUGUCUUGACAUCUACAUGAGCCUCAAUGAGGAUCUGCUAACCUCCGAGUGGAUCUCUAAGAUACACUCGAAGGAAGCUUUUUUACUUAGGCGAUUCUUGAUCGCAAACAAGUCCCCGAGUGUGUCGUUUAGAGCGCACUCGGAGAAAGUUGUUGUUUAGGCGAUUCUGGAUCGCAGCUAAGUCCCCGAGUGCGAUGUUUUAGUGCACACUCGGAGAAAGCUUGUACUUAGGCGAUUCUGGAUCGCAGCUAAGUCCCCGAGUGCGACGUUUUAGUGCACACUCGGAGAAAUUUUGUACUUAGGCGAUUCUUGAUCGCAGCUAAGUCCCCGAGAGCGAUGUUUAGUCCUCACUCAGAGAAAGUUGGUACUUAGGCGAUUCUUUAUCGCGGCUAAGUCCCCGAGUGCGACGUUUAGUGCACACUCGGAAAAAGUUUUUACUUAGGCGAUUCUUGAUCGCAGCUAAGUCCCCGAGUGCGACAUUCAGUGCACACUCGGAGAAAGUUGGUACUUAGGCGAUUCUUGAUCGCAGCUAAGUCUCCGAGUGCGACGUUUAGUGCACACUCGGAGAAAGUUUGUACUUAGGCAAUUCAGGAUCGCAGCUAAGUCCCUGAGUGCGACGUUUAGUGCACACUUGGAGAAAGUUAGUACUUAGGCGAUUCUGGAUCGCAGCUAAGUCCCCGAGUGCGACGUUUAGUGCACACUCGGAGAAAUUUAGUACUUAGGCGAUUCUGGAUCGCAGCUAAGUCCCCGAGUGCGACGUUUAGUGCACACUCGGAGAAAGUUAGUACUUAGGCGAUUCUGGAUCGCAGCUAAGUUUUUUUUUGAGACCGGAGUCUGCGAACGCGGAAGAAUUUUGAAUCUGCAAAAACUCAAUCUGCUUUGUACUACUUCAACGAUACUUGUUCUUUACAUUGCUUCAGUCGACGGUCACGUGUAGAAGUGCUUCAUGAGAUCUCCGUUCCAUGCUCGCGGCUCGUCCGUUUCCCUGUCGAGGUUGUAGAGUCGAUAUGCUCCAUUGUUCAGCACCUUGGAGAUGAUGAAGGGUCCUUCCCAGGCGGGAGCCAACUUGUGAGGUCUCUGCUGAUCCACUCGGAGCACCAGGUCGCCUCCUUGGAAUGUACGACUCCUCACGUGCCGCGCGUGAAAACACCACAGAUCUUGUUGAUAAAUGGUUGAGCGAGUCAGUGCCAUCUCGCGCUCCUCCUCUGGAAGAUCCACUCCGUCUUGCCUUGCUUGCUCUGCUUCAGCUUCGGAGAAGAGUUCAACUCGUGGAGCGUUGUGAAGCAAGUCACUCGGAAGGACUGCCUCUGCUCCGUAAACGAGGAAGAACGGGGAUCGCCCUGUAGAUCUAUUUGGGAUUGUGCGGAGACCCCACAACACCGAAGGCAGCUCGGUGACCCAUGCGCCGGCAGCAUGUCCCACUUCUCGCAGGAGUCGAGGCUUCAAACCUUGCAGAAUAAGUCCAUUCGCCCGCUCUGCUUGCCCGUUUAUUUGGGGAUGUGCCACAGAUGCAAAAUCCACUCGGAUACCUUGGCCUGUACAGAAACCUUUGAAUCUGUCCGAGUCAAAGUUUGUGCCAUUGUCACUGAUUAUGCUGUGCGGUACCCCGAAUCUGGAGAUGAUGUCCCGGACAAACUUGAUGGCCGUAAGGGCGUCGAGCUUCUUGAUGGGUUUGGCUUCAGUCCACCUUGUGAACUUGUCGACUGCCACCAACAGAUGUGUGAAUCCCCCUUGGCCUGUCCUGAAUGGACCGACUGUAUCUAAUCCCCACACUGCAAACGACCAGACAAGAGGGAUUGUCUUCAACGCAGAUGUUGGCUUGUGGGACUUGUUCGAGUAGAACUGACAGCCUUCGCAUCAGUCGACCAUAUCCUUCGCCAUUUCAUUCGCCUGCAACCAGAAGAAGCCAGCUCUGAAUGCUUUGGCGACGAUUGCCCUUGAGGAGGCAUGAUGACCGCAGGUUCUCGAGUGAAUUUCUUCCAGGAUUAACUGUCCCUCCUCAGGGGAGAUGCAUCAUUGAAGGACGCCUGAAACGCUUUCCUUGUACAACUGGCCAUCAAUGACAGUGAACAACUUUGACCUGCGGACGAUCUGUCUGGCUUGGACUUCGUCUUCUGGUAAUUCUUGCCUUAGGAUGUAUGCAAUGAACGACACAGUCCAAUCGGGGAUGAUAGCAAGAAUCACCAUGAUCAAAUCAACCACAGCAGGGACUUCGAGUUCAGUCGGAUCUGUCGAGCUCUUUGGUUGUACUGGUUCCUCUGUGAAAGGAUCUUCUUUAACUUAGGGAAGGUGAAGGUGCUCGAGGAAGACGUCACUCGGGACUGGUCUCCGAGUGGAUCCAAGUUUCGCCAAUUCAUCAGCUGCUUGGUUUUUCAGUCGCGGAACAUGGUGGAGUUCGAGACCUUCAAACUUUUUCUCGAGCUUCCUCACCGCAUUGCAGUAUGUGGUCAUGGUGGGGUUCCUGAUGUCCCACUCCUUCAUCACUUGAUUAACCACCAAAUCCGAAUCGCCAUAGACCAUCAGGCAACGGACGCCGAGUGCAAUGGCCAUGCGCAGUCCAUAAAGAAGAGCUUCAUACUCUGCCUCGUUGUUGGAGGAAUCAAAGUGUAUCUGCAACACAUACUUGAGUUUGUCACCCUUUGGUGAUAUGAUCACAACGCCAACGCCGGAGCCAUUCAACAUCUUGGACCCAUCGAAUAACAUUGUCCAAUGAGCCGAGUAGAUGUGGGUCGGUUGCUGUUGUUCUACCCAUUCUGCUAUGAAGUCAGCCAGGGCUUGAGACUUUAUAGCUUUCUUGGCCUCGAACUUGAUGUCGCAGUAUAACAUCUCCAUUGCCCACUUCGCCACUGGGCCCGAUGCGUCCCGAUUGUGGAGGAUUUCCGACAAUGGAGCAUCAGAAAUGACAGACACCGAGUGGUCUUGGAAAUAAUGAGCCACCUUCUUCGCAGUCAUGUAAAUCCCGUAGAUAAGUUUUUGAUAGUGGGGAUACCUCUGCUUGGAAGGAGUCAGGACUUCGGAGACAUAAUACACUGGCCGCUGAACCUUGUAUGCUUUGCCUUCUUCUUCCCGUUCGACUGUGAGAACAGUGCUGACGACUUGAUUUGUAGCCGCGAUGUACAGAAGAAGGGGUUCUUUACUGAGCGGAGCAGUAAGAACCGGCUGGGUGGCAAGUAGGACUUUGAGGUCGUCAAAUGCGAUUUGGGCUUCGUCUAUCCACUCGAAGGUAUCUGAUUUCUUCAUGAGUCGGUACAGAGGAAGUGCCUUCUCGCCGAGUCGACUGAUAAACCUUCUCAAAGCCGCUAGGAAACCUGUGAGCCUUUGAACAUCGUGUAUGCUGACCGUCCGCUCCAUUCGGACGAUGGUCCCGAUCUUUUCGGGGUUGACAUCGAUCCCUCGUUCAGAAACAAAGAAACCGAGUAACUUUCCGCUGGGAACACCGAAUGAACACUUGGCUGGGUUGAGCUUGAUAUCGUACCUACGAAGGUUGGCGAAUGUUUCUGCCAAGUCAGUCAGCAGGUCGGAACCUUUGCGUGACUUGACUACGAUAUCAUCCAUAUACGCCUCCACAUUCUGACCGAUCUGGUCAAGGAGGCAUUUUUGGAUCAUGCGCAUAAAGGUUGCUCUUGCAUUCUUCAAACCAAAUGGCAUAGUGAUGUAGCAGAAGCACCCGAACAGGGUGAUGAAGGCUGUUUUUAAUUCAUCGGGGCCAUACAGACGGAUCUGAUGAUAGCCCGAGUAGGCAUCAAGGAAUGACAAACGCUCGCAACCCGCAAUCGAAUCGACAAUUUGAUCGAUGCGGGGGAGCGGAAAUGGUCUUUCGGGCAGACCUUAUUGAGAUGCUUGAAGUCGAUGCACAUUCGGAGAGAGUUGUCCUUCUUGGGCACCAUGAAAACAUUGGCGAGCCACUCGGAGUGGUGUACCUCGCAAAUGAAGUUGGCUGCCAAAAGCUUAGCCACAUCUUCUCCGAUUGCCUUCCUCUUGUGGGCAGCGGACCGACGCAAGCGUUCUCGGACAGGCCGAGCAGAAGGAUCCACAUGCAGUAGGUGCUCGGCCAACUCCCUGGGUACACCUGGCAUGUCAGCGGGCUUCCAUGCGAAAAUGUCCCAGUUCUCACGGAGGAAUUGGAUGAGCUCGGCUUCCUAUUUAGGAUCGAGUGUGGUGGAGAUGUUCGUCGGGGCAGCGGUGUCCUCCGUCGGGUGGAUGCUGGCCUUCUUCGUCUCUCCCGCCGACUGGAAUGCGGACUCCGAAGCUGGCUUCUUCGAACGCAUCAAGUCCGCGGGGUCGACUGUCUUCUUGUACUUGUCAAGCUCGAGGACAGCCAUCUGCUGAUCGGCGAUCCUCGAUCCCUGCUGCAGACACUCCUCGGCCCGUUGCCGAUUGCCUGUGAUAGUGAUCACACCUUUUGGGCCUGGCAUCUUCAGCUUCAGGUACACGUAACAUGGACGGGCCAUGAAACGCGCAUAUGCCGGGUGGCCCAGAAUCGCGUGGUACACACUUUGGAAGUCCACCACCUCGAACGUCAGUUUUUCCUUGCGGAAGUUCUUGUCGGAGCCGAAGACGAUGUCCAACGCGAUCUGGACGAGUGACUUGGCAUUUCGUUCAGGGACAACUCCAUGGAACUGCAUGCUGCUCUCGCUAAGUUUGGACAUCGGAAUGCCCAUCCCCUUGAGAGUGUCAUCGUACAUGAUGUUCAAGCCGCUGCCGUCAUCCAUGAGGACUUUGCGCAGUCGGACUCCUUCCACCACCGGGUUGACGACCAGGGCCUGCCUCCCUGGGGUGGGUACGUGUGCUGGAUGAUCCGACUGGUCAAAGGUGAUCGCAGUCUGAGACCAUUUGAGGAACGUGGGGUUGGUCGGGGUGGCCAUGUUCACCUCCCUGAUCACCAACUUGAGUCGACUAUUGCUUUCAACGUCAGCAAAAAUCAUCAGUGUUGCAUGGACUUGGAGGAACGGAUCCUCCUUGUCCUCCUCAUCCUGUUCAUUGUCCUUUUCACUCAGCUGCCCUUCGCCGAACCCCUGGAUCAGGAGGCGACAUUGCCGAGUGGUAUGCUUCGGAAAUAUGGCGUUGCCCUCUUCAUCCAUCUUCGUGUGGAUUGGACAUGGCUGGUCCAGGAUGUGGUUUCCGAACUGCUUCUUCUUGGGGGUGAACUGAGCCUUCCCGUUGCCCUUGAACUUGGCAUUGGUAAUGGCUGCGGCCUCUACCUGCGGAGUGGACGGAGCUUUCUGCUUCUGCUUCCGAGUGUUGUUCCCAUCUCCAUCGGCGACUGCUUUGUGCUUGUCGUUAUGAAUGCGGUUCAGCCAUGCUCGUGCCAAGCAAUCGAGCAUCAGGGGGAGAUGUUUCAUGGCGACCUGGUCGUCCCCACCGCCGAUCUGGACUGCCACUCGAUAGUCGUCUAGCCACGUUUCUGGCUUGGAUUCUCCUGUAAACUUGCUGAUCCCCAUUGCCAAUCGGAAGUUGGGAGGGAUGUCAGCCGAACGGAUGGCUCGACUGAAACACUCAGGGCCAGAGACGAUGGUCCUGCUUCCACUCGGACGGUCUAUAUCGUGACCAUCGCGGUGGGCCCGGCCCCUGUCGACCCUCCUCUGGGCAAUAUAUCCUCUUGUGUCGGGCCUUGGAUCAUAAGUGUCACCAACCGAACACCGAUCAUCAUGAUGUCGGGGCCCGUAGGGCCCACCCCGCGGAGGGGUGCGUGAACGGCGACGAUCUUCAGGAUUCAUGGAACGGCUGCCUCCCCUGUGUCGCUGAUGAGAACCGGGGCUGUGAACUGACCGAUGUGUGUUCGCGUGAACAGAACUAUUGUGGAUCCUGUUGUGCGACUAGGAGACCGCCGAAUUUUGCUGCUGCGCCGUCUGCAGCAGGGCACGGAUCUGCUCGAUCACUCUGCCAGCCUCUGAAUCAGUCGAUUGGAGGGAAUCGGCUAUCUUGGCGGGGGCGGCCAGGUUGAGGACGGGUGUGCGGAACACCUCCACGUUGCUCCGACGAGUGUGCCGACUGGCAGAACAGCGGGGCUGACGGCGAGCGCCGGAUGUUUCGCCGACCUCGUGCUCGUUCCGGCCGGUUUGGCGGGGACUUUCAUGGGAGUUGGCCAUGUGCACUUCGGCUGCAGGCCCGUGACCCAAAUACUCGGAAGGAAACUCAGUCGGAACUGAGUCCGAGCGCUGGGACGGCGGCGCAACUACAACCGACUCGAGGACCGCCACUGGUGAAGACGCGUUCUGGCGCGCCUGGGCGGGUUGCACCCAACGCUGGAGCCGCAGACGGCGGGACCGCUUGUUGCGGCGGGCGAUGGCGGCGUAGGUCGACACCGGAGCCAACUGCUGGAGAAGAAGGAUGCCGCGGGCGCCGGCACGGAAGUGCGUAGCCCCGCGACUGGGGAGCGCCUCGACGUCGAGAGGGGCAUCCCGAAGCCAUGUCGAAUCAUCAACGAUGAAGGAGAGAUCGUCGAAGAGGAUCUCGUGACCCAUGCUUAAAUCUCCACCGGAUGACAUGAUGAAAAGAUGUAGUCGCAAACUCGCCGGAAGUCGCUUAGACGCCUGCCCCAAGGUGGGCGCCAACUGUCGUGGGUAUAAGUCUGACAGUAGAUGUAUAGGGUACGAAAGGAUGGACAGAGCCUAAGCUACGGCGAGGUUGUAUGAGUUCGGGCCCCUCUACGGUGGAGGUAAAAGCCCUACGUCUCAAUGCUCUUGGGAGCUUGAUGUCGAGUGGAAUAUGGAUUACAGUGAAUUUCUAACCCCUGCACCAGUGGGGAAGGGUGGCUUAUAUAGAGUGCGCUGCCCUUCACAACGGUUCGGUGCACAGGGGUGGAGUAGUGGCGAAUAAAUGCCUACGUUACAGGUAAGUAUGCCUUAAAUGCUAAUAAAGGUACAUGAAAACGUAUGACCGUUGCCCUCCAGGGGGGUUACGAUGUACAUAGUGGAAUCGAGUCGGUAAGUUUGAUACGCUCUGAGUGCUCAUCUCCGACUGGAUGAUGGAGGAGUCGUCACCGACUGGAUGAUGGGAAGUCCUUAAUUCAGUCGGAACUGACUAAGGGCCUUGUCCCUUAUGAAGGGUAGUCCUUGGGUAGGACCUAUAGGGCAGGCCUAUGACCCUACCCUAGGACUAUAACCCCAUCAGACAUUGUCUUAAUUCUUCUUUCGCAGUUGCGGAUGCUUGCGGGAGGGGGUAAUCAUAAGUGGGAUGCUUGUCCAAGUAAGGGCAGUACCCAAGCGCCGGUCCACCCACAUAUCAAACUAUCAAAGUAACGAACGCGAAUAUUAUGAACAUGAUGAAACUAGCAUGAUAGAAAUUCCCGUGUGUCCUCGGGAGCGCUUUUCCUCCUAUAAGACUUUGUUCAGGCUUGUCCCUUGCUACAAAAGGGAUUGGACCACUUUGCUGCACCGUUGCUACUACUUGUUACUUGUUACUUUUCACUUGCUACGUUUCACCUCACUACACAAUCACUUGUUACCGCUAGUUUCAGUGCUUGCAGUUAUUACCUUGCUGAAAACCAUUUAUAAGAGCCUUCUGCUCCUCGUUGGGUUCGACACUCUUACUUAUCGAAAGGACUACGAUUGAUCCCCUAUACUUGUGGGUCAUCACCUACCGAGCGGUAGUACCGCUCCCAUGAGCGGUAGUACCACUCUGUGCGGGCUGUGAGGCUUAACGGUUGGAUUUUUCCCCACCUAUAAAAGGGGGUCUUCUUCCCCAUUGAACCUUAUCUCUUUAGCUCGUAUUCUUCCCCCAUUGUUGACCUUCUUCGAGCUUGCUAACUCUCAAUCCCUCCAAUGAUUCUUGCUAGUUCUUGAGGGAAAAGGGAGAGGAGAUCUAGAUCCACAUUUCCACCAAUCACUUUCUCCUCUAAGUGAGGGGAACCACUUGGGUCUAGAUCUUGGAGUUCUUCGUGUUCUUCUUCGUUCUUCCUCUCAUUUUACUCCCUAGCAUUAGUUGCUUUGGUGGGAUUUGGGAGAGAAGGACUUGGGCACUCUGUGUGCCCUUGCCAUUGCAUUAGUUGCAUCGUUUGAGUUCUCCACGGUGAUAUGUGGAAGUGAAGUUUGAGAAGCUUAUUACCUUUGGUACUUAGUACCCUAGAUAUUGUUCUUCGUGGAUGCUUUGGCGUCCUAGAAGCUUGGUGGUGUCUCGGAGCUCAAUCAUUGUGGUGUAAAGCUCCGGGCAAGCGUCGGGGUCUCCAAUUAGGUUGUGGAGAUUGCCCCGAGCAAUUUGUACGGGUAUCGGUGACCGCCCCCAAGGUUUGCCAUUUGUACGGGUUCGGUGACCGCCCCCAAGGGUCCCUUAGUGGAAUCACGACAUCUUGCAUUAUGCGAGAGCGUGAGGAGAUUACGGUGGCCUUAGUGGUAUCUUGGGGAGCAUUGUGCCUCCACACCGCUCCAACGAAGAUUAGCAUCCGCAAGGGUGUGAACUUCGGGAUACAUCAUCGUCUCCGCGUGCCUCGGUUAUCUCUUACUCGAACCCUUUACUUAUGCACUUUACUUUGUGAUAGCCAUAUUGUUUAUUGUCAUAUAUCUUGCUAUCACUUAGUUGUAUAUCUUGCUUAGCAUAAGUUGUUGGUGCACAUAGGUGAGCCUAGUUGUUGUAGGUUUUGUGCUUGACAAAUUAAAUGUUAGUUUUAUUCCGCAUUUGUUCAAGCCUAAACCGUAAUUAUUUUAAAGCGCCUAUUCACCCCCCGAGGCGACAUCCACGUCCUUUCAACGGGUAGCAUAGAUACCUCCAUAAACAGUGCCUUUAGAACGGUUCGUGUUCAAUCAUUGAGCCACUAUUGCGCCCAAGCUAUAAGUUUUAUCAUUAUAAAGGGCUUCGUGCAAAACCGCAAGAUCUGGGGAGCUAAGAGCUCCAGCUUUCCCACGUCCAAUCAAACACUUUCCCACCAAUAAUGAGAAAUGCCGAAGCACGGGAAAAUGAAUGCUAGCAACUCUAGCGCAAGAUACUCCUCUCUCCUCUCCUACAGAAAUAGUAUCAAUGAAAGCCUCCAAGUCCCAUGGACGAGGUUCAUGAAUAUCCCCAACAUAAGGUAAUUUGCAGACAUUGCAAAAAUCCUAAAGUGACAUGCGCUGGGGGAUAUCAUAUAACUUGAACUCAACCAUAGGAGGGUUCUUCCUUGGAUAGAAGUUAAAGCUUUGCACGAAAAAAUUAGUGAGGAGGAGGUAUUGUGGGCACUUAUCUUCAACGAAAGCGGUAAGGCAUGUGUUCUUCACCAAGUAAUAAAAAACCUCAUAAAGUCCGGUGGCACGUAAGAACACAUCGCUUGGCCACUCACACGCUCGAACUUCUGCAACUCGGGGAACCGGAUACUUGGGUUACUUCUUCUCAUUUUCAUCAUCCUUGGGGUCACGGCUUGAAGAGCCUCUUAGGAACCUCCUCAUCUUUUGCUUUUUCUUUCUCUGAAAAUUUCUGAAAUUUUUAGUGACUCAAAGGAAAAGUGAACAAGGCUCAACGAAACUCAUAGCAACUACUCCUUCAAGUGCCUAGAAGCCAUAUCAUGCAUCAAAACUACUUGGGACCAGCUAAAAUUAGCAUGCAAAGCUCAAGAACAGGGUCACUGAUGACCCACAAGUAUGGGGGAUCUGUCGUAGUCCUUUCGAUAAGUAAGAGUGUCGAACCCAACGAGGAGCAAAAGGAUCUGACAAGUGGUUUUCAGCAAGGUAAUAUCUGCAAGCACUGAAAUUAUCGGUAACAAGUAGUUGUGUGGUGAGAUGAUUCGUAGCAAGUAGCAAGUAGCAAAAGUAACAACGAUGCAGCAAAGUGGCCCAAUCCCUUCUGUAGAAAGGGACAAGCCUGGACAAAGUCUUAUAGGAGGUAAAACACUCCCGAGGACACAUGGGAUUUUCUGUCAAGCUAGUUUUCAUCAAGUUCAUAUGAUUUGCGUUCGUUACUUUGAUAGUUUGAUAUGUGGGUGGACCGGCGCUUGGGUGAUGCACUUACUUCGACAAGCAUCCCACUUAUGAUUAACCCCUCCCACAAGCAUCCGCAACUACGAAAUAAUAAUUAAGAGAAAGUCUAACCAUAGCAUUAAACUAGUGGAUCCAAGUCAGCCCCUUACGAAGCAAUGCAUAAACUAGGGUUUAAGCUUCUCUCACUCUAGCAACCCAUCAUCUACUUACUACUUCCCAGUACCUUCCUCUAGGCCCAAAAAAUGGUGAAGUGUUAUGUAGUCGACGUUCACAUAACACCACUAGAGGAAAAACAACAUACAACACAUCAAAUUAUCGAACGAAUACCAAAUUCACAUGACUACUUAUAGCAUGACUUAUCCCAUGUCCUCAGGAACAAAAGUAACUACUCACAAAGCAUAAUCAUAUUCAUGACCAGAGAGGUAAUGAAUAGCAUCAAAGAUCUGAACAUAAACUCUUCCACCAAGUAAUCCAACUAGCAUCAACUACAAAGAGUAAUUAACACUACUAGCAACCUUACAAGUACCAAUCGGAGUCGCGAGAUGGAGAUUGGUUACAAGUGAUGAACUAGGGUUUGGAGAUGAUAUGGUGCUGAUGAAUAUGUUGAUGGUGAUGAGUCCCCUCCGAUGAGAGGAGUGUUGGUGAUGACAAUGGCGACGAUUUCCCCCUCCGGGGGAAGUUUCCCCGGCAAAAUCGUCCUGCCAGAGCUCUAGAUUGGUUCUGCUCAAGUUCCGGCUCGUGGCGGCGGUGAAUCCUCCGAAGAGCCUCCUCUUGAUUUUUCUAGACCGAAGCCCUUCUUGUAGGAAAAGGGGGGAUCCAGAGGGCCAAGUGGGAGCCCACAAGCCCCCUAGGCACGGCAAGGGGGGCCCGCGCCUAGUAGGCUUGUGGCCUCCUGCUCGCGCCCCUCUGGUACUUCUUCGGCCCAGUAUUUUUUAUAAAUCCCAAAAAAAAUCCUCGUUGAUUUUCACGGCUUUUGGAGUUGUGCAGAAUAGGUAUCUCAAACUUGCUCCUUUUUCAGGCCAGAAUUCCAGCUGUCGGCAUUCUCCCUCUUCAUGUAAACCUUGCAAAAUAAGAGAGAAAAGGCAUAAGUAUUGUACCGUGAAGUGUAAUAACAGCCCAAAAAGCAAUAAAUAUCAACAUGAAAGCAUGAUGCAAAAUAGACGUAUCAACUCCUCCAAGCUUAGACCUUGCUUGCCCUCAAGCGAAAGCCGAGAUCAAUAAAUAUGCCCACAUGUUUAGAGAGAGAGGUGUCGACAAAACAAGAUACAAACAUGCAGGCAUCAUGAUCAUUAUUAGAACAACAAUACCGUCAUAUCAUCUCUUAUGCUAAAGUGACAAUUCCUUCACAAAGUAAAGCAUGGAUCAAGAGCCUUACCGAGAAUUAACAACCGAUAGCCUUUAGUCAAUGAAGCAAUUGCAAUUUAUAACAACAUCGGAAAGAGUCAAAUAAGAGCUUGUAAAGCAAAUCCACAUACUCAAUCAUCUUUUCGUUCUCUACAAUUGCUACAACUCACGUGGUACUCAUGAGAUCAAAGUUUCAGCUGGACACAAAGAAAGAUAGGGGCUUAUAGUUUCGCCUCCCAACCAUUUACCUCAAGGGUAAUGUCAACAAUAAUAAUUCAUGAAUACUUACUUCCAAGUUGACAUAUGAAUAUAGAUCUUUCCCAAGCAUAUGACGUUAGCCAAGAUAAAGGCGAAAUAAGGAAUUGGUGUAGAUCACCAUGACUCUUUCAAGGGCAAAAAUUAAAGAUACAAGAUAGGCCCUUCGCAGAGGGAAGCAGAAGUUGUCAUGCGCUUUUGAGGUUUGGAUGUGUGUCCUCUUAGUGCGGAGGAACGUCACUUUAUAUUGCCCCCUGUGAUAAAGAACUUUAUUAUGCAUUCCGUCGCUUUUAUGUCUUCCUCAUCACAGGUUCGUACAAAGCUUAUUUUCCACACACUAAUAGAUCAUACAUAUUAGGGAGCAAUUUUUACUGCUUGCACCGAUGAUAACUUACUUGAGGGAUCUUAUUCAAUCCAUAGGUAGGUAUGGUGGACUCUCAUGGCAAAAUUGGGUUGAAGGUUUAUGGAUGCACAAGUAGUAUCUCUACUUGAUUCGAGAGUUUUGGCUAAUAUGAGGUGGAAGCAAUCGUCACAUGCUAAGGGAUCUCUAGUCAUAUAACAUUGUUCGUAACCAAGCAAACACAAUUCAUUAUGUUGUCUUCCUUGUCCAACAUCAACUUCUAAGCAUGUAAUAGUUUAGUGAGUGUUCACAAUCAUAGAUGGUGUCAAAGAUGAUAUAUUUAUAUGUGAACCUCUCCUUCUUUAUCACUUCCUAUUAAUUGCAACAAUGACCAAGAUCUACGUUUGUCUACCCUCAACAAGUUUGAAUCAUCAUUCUUUUUAUAUGUGAAGCCAUCACUUCCCAUAAGAUCAUUGCAUGAUCUUUCAUGCUUUUGUUCUUUUCUCAUUCUGUUGAUCAUGGCAUGAGGAAAGGCCCUUAACUAAGAGACUCUUUAUUAUAUGGCUCACGAGCUCGAAUACAUCGGGGGUGACACAAAGCAAAACUCAAGCCUAAAACACUAAGACCUUUAGUCUACUAGAGAAAGAUAAAACAGAAAAGGAACGAACUAAGAAAAGGUAAAGGCAAAAGAUGUGAUGGUGAUACGAUACCGGGGCAACUCCCCCAAGCUUGGCACAUGCCAAGGGGAUUGCCCAUACCCAUGCUUAGUUGUCUUCCUUUGGAGGUGAUGGUGGCGGAGUUGUUGCAGAGGUCUUGAACUUGUUUAAUUUCCACUUGAGCAUAAAAUUCUGCUCCCUCAGAUCAUCAUUUUCCUCUUCAAGCCUCAACAUCCUUUGGCAUAAUUCAUGCUUACUCUCCUGCAAGAAACGAGAAGGGAUAAACAAAGUCUUAGGCUUCUUCCUUGAGUCAGGGAGGCUCGACUUCUUGAACUCCACAUGUGUGUGUCCAAGUUGAGGUAGAGGAGCCUCCUCCUCUUCGGAACUUGUUUGUUCUUUCCCCUUGGGAUCAUAAUCUUCUUCCUUAUUAGUGGUCCAGCCAUAAGGAUCCAAGUCCCCAUAGACCUUGGGGUUAGCAAGGUAAUCGGCCACAUAGCUCUCCCCCUCUGAAUCUUGAGAAGACAUCUUGCCCUAAAUCUGCAGCAGAAAACAGGCUCGAAACGAAAACAGAGGAAAUUUGCGUGAUACGAGGGUCAGACCUUUCGGGAGAAUAUAUAAUGAUUUUUUCCAGACCAGAAGAAGUACUCCGCAAGAAAACGGAGUCCGGGAGGCACACGAGGUGGCCACAAGCCCCCCAGGCGCGGCCAGGGGGGUGGCCCGCGCCUGGCAGGCUUGUUGCCUCCUCGUGCGCUUUCCGGACUACUUCAAUUUUUUCUGUUUUUAUAAAUAUUCCAAAACAGAGAAAAAUUCCUACUCGAAAAGUUUUGGAGUCUAUUUACGUACCGAAUCACAUACCUCUUCAUUUUCGGAGUCAAAAACAGGCUGAUAAAUAUCCCUUAGGUACUCCUCUAGAGUUAUGAUAUUGAUAAUAUUGCUUUCAACAUUUAUGGGAGUACCUAAGAUUUAAUGCUUGAUUCUCUGCCCAUUUACCACUCUCGGACAAUUACCUUCCGUGUUGUUGAUCUUGAUAGCACCGGAACGAUAUACUUCCUCAACAAUAUAGGGACCUUCCCAUUUAGAGAGAAGCUUGCCUGCAAAAAAUCUUAAACGAGAAUUAUAUAGCAAGACAUAAUCACCUACAUUGAACUCACGCUUUUGUAUCCUUUUAUCAUGCCACCUCUUAACCUUUUCUUUUAACAACUUGGCAUUCUCAUAUGCCUGAGUUCUCCAUUCAUCAAGCGAGCUAAUAUCAAAUAACAUCUUCUCACCAGCAAGUUUGAAAUCAAAGUUGAGCUCUUUGAUUGCCCAAUAAGCCUUAUGCUCUAGCUCAAGAGGUAAAUGACAUGCUUUGCCGUACACCAUUUUGUACGGAGACAUGCCCAUGGGAUUCUUAUAGGCAAUUCUAUAAGCCCACAGUGCAUCAUCGAGCUUCUUAGACCAAUUCUUUCUAGACCUAUUGACAGUCUUUUGCAGAAUUAGUUUAAUCUCUCUAUUGCUUAGCUCUACUUGACCACUUGACCGAGGGUGAUAGGGAGACGCAAUUAUAUGGUUGACAUCGUACUUAGCAAGCGUUUUACGGAAAGCACCAUGAAUGAAAUGUGAACCACCGUCCGUCAUUAGAUAUCUAAGGACUCCAAAUCUAGGGAAAAUAACUUCUUUAAGCAUCCUGAUAGAGGUGUUAUGAUCAGCACUACUAGUGGGGAUAGCUUCUACCCACUUAGUGACGUAAUCAAUAGCAACUACGAUAUGAGUAUACCCGUUGGAUUUUGGAAAAGGUCCCAUAUAAUCAAAGCCCCAGGCAUCAAAUGGUUCAAUGACAAGUGAAUAGUUCAUAGGCAUUUCCUGACGUUUACCGAUAUUACCUAUUCUUUGACAUUCGUCACAACACAAGACAAACUUACGUGCAUCCUUGAAGAGAGUGGGCCAAUAGAAACCUGAUUGCAAUACCUUGUGUGCAGUUCUAUCUCCCGCAUGGUGUCCUCCGUAGGCCUCGGAGUGAUACUUCUGUAGGAUUUGUCCCUGUUCAUGUUCAGGUACACAACGUCUAAUAACACCAUCUACUCCUUCCUUAUAAAGGUGAGGAUCAUCCCAAAAGUAAUGUCUCAAGUCAAAGAAGAAUUUCUUCUUUUGCUGGUAUGUGAAACUAGGUGGUAUAUAUUUGGCAACGAUAUAGUUUGCAUAAUCAGCAUACCACGGUGCACUACGUGAAGCAUUGAUGACAUUCAAUUGCUCAUCAGGAAAGCUAUCAUCAAUAGGUUGUGGGUCAUCAAGAACAUUCUCCAACCUAGACAAGUUAUCUGCUAUGGGGUUAUCAGCACCCUUCUUGUCGACAACAUGCAAAUCAAAUUCUUGUAGCAAGAGAACCCAUCUGAUGAGUCUAGGUUUAGCGUCUUUCUUCUGCAUGAGGUACUUAAUAGCAGUAUGAUGAGUGUGAAUAGUGAAUUUGGAAUCAACUAUGUAAGAUUUGAACUUUUCACAUGCAAACACGACUGCUAAAAAUUCCUUUUACGUAGUAGCAUAGUUUCUUUGGGCACUAUCUAGAGUUUUACUAGCAUAGUGAAUAACAUUCAACUUCUUAUCAACUCUUUGCCCUAGGGCAGCACCAACAGCAUAAUCACUAGCAUCACACAUGAUUUCAAAAGGUAAGUUCCAAUCAGGUGGUUGAACAAUAGGCACAGUUAUCAAAGCCUUCUUAAGUAUUUCGAAGGCUUCCUCACAAUCAUCGUCAAAAACAAAAGGAAUAUCCAUUUGCAAGAGAUUGGUAAGAGGCCUAGAAAUCUUAGAGAAGUCUUUAAUGAACCUUCUAUAGAAACCAGCAUGACCAAGGAAACUUCUUAUACCUUUGAUAUCUGUGGGGUAUGAUAUUUUCUCGAUUGCAUCAACCUUAGCCUUAUCGACUUCAAUACCUCUUUUAGAAAUUUUAUGUCCUAAGACGAUGCCUUCAUUAACCAUAAAGUGGAACUUCUCCCAAUUCAAGACAAGAUUGGUAUCUUUACAUCUCUGCAAGACUCAAUCAAGUUUGCUGAGGCAAUCAUCAAAAGAAGACCUAUAAACAGAGAAGUCGUCCAUGAAAACCUCGACAAUCUUUUCACAAAAGUCAAUGAAUAUAGCCAUCAUACAUCUUUGAAAGGUGGCAGGUGCAUUACAUAAGCCAAAAGGCAUACGUCUAUAAGCAAAGGUACCGAAAGGACAGGUGAAAGCGGUUCUCUCCUGAUAAGAUUGUGCAACUGGUAUUUGGGAGAAACCAGAAUAACCGUCUAGAAAGCAGAAGUAUGUGUGUUUAGACAGUCUUUCUAGCAUUUGGUCGAUAAAAGGCAAAGGGUAAUGAUCUUUCCUAGUGGCCUUAUUCAAUUUCCUAAAAUCGAUCACCAUCCUAUAGCCAGUAAUAAUUCUCUGUGGGAUCAAUUCAUCCUUAUCAUUAGGGACAACGGUAAUACCUCCCUUCUUAGGGACACAAUGCACCGGACUCACCGAAUCACUAUGAGCAACAGGAUAGAUAAUACCUGCUUCCAGGAGUUUUAGUAUUUCUUUUCUUACUACCUCUUUCAUCUUAGGAUUUAAUCUCCGUUGAUGAUCAGCAACUGGCUUGGAAUCAGGAUCAGUUUUAAUCUUGAGCUGGCAUAGAGUGGGACUAAUGCCCUUAAGAUCAUCAAGAGUAUAUCCAAUAGCAGCACGGUGCUUCCUCAGAGUUUUUAGUAACUUCUUUUCUUCAUGCUCUGAGAGGCUAGCACUGAUUAUAACAGGAUAUAUCUCUUUUUCAUCAAGAUAGACAUACUUAAGAGUAUCAGGCAACUGUUUAAGCUCGAACACAGGAUCAACCUUUGGUGGGGGUGGAUCCCCAAGUAGUUCAACAGGCAGAUUAUUCUUAAGGAUAGGAUAUUGUUCUAAGACAACUCUAUCUAUCUCAUCCCUUUCAUCCAUAUGCAUAUCAUUUUCAUGCUCAAGCAAGUAUUGCUCUAAGGAAUCAGUAGGAGGCACGGGAAUAGAGGCUAAGGCAACUGUUUCAUCCUUACUAGGCAACUCUUUUUCAUCAGGUUGUCUACCAAACUUGGAGAAAUUGAACUCGUGUGACACACCUUCAAAGCCAACAGUGAUAGUUUGCUUCUCACAGUCAAUAUGAGCAUUGACAGUAUUGAGAAAAGGUCUGCCAAAUAUGAUGGGACAAAAGCUAUCUAGGGUGGUAGCAAGAACGAGGAAAUCAGCAGGAUACUUCGUUUUACCACACAAGACUUCAACAUCCCUAACAAUUCCCAAAGGGCAGAUAGUAUCUCUAUUGGCAAUCUGAAUAGUGACAUCAAUGGGUUCUAUCUCGACAGGUGCAAUCUCGUCUUUAAUUUCAUCAUAUAAGGAUUGAGGUAUUGCACUAACACUAGCACCCACGUCACAUAAACCAUGAUAACAAUGAUCUCCUAUCUUAACAGAAACAACAGGCUUGCCAACAACAGGCCUAUGUUUGUCUCUAGCAUGUGGUUUAGCAAUUCUAGCAGCAUCUUCACAAAAGUGAAUAUCAUGGCCAUCAACAUUGUCGGACAGGAGAUCUUUGAUAAUAGCAAUGCUAGGUUCAACUCUAAUUUGCUCAGGGGGUGUAGGUGUUCUAAUGUAGCCUCUACGUAUCACAGUUGAAGCUUUAGAAUGAUCCUUUAUCCUAACACGGAAAGGUGGUUUCUCAAUGUAAGCACUAGGAAUAAUAGAAUCAUUAUAGGCAAUGACUUUCUCUUCAACUUGAUUGGGUUUAACUACAUUGACUCCUAAGGGAGGAUAAUAUUUAGACCACUUCUCUUUGGGGAGAUCAAUAUGAGCAGCAAAUGAUUCACACAAUGAAGCUACUAUCUCAGAGUCAAGUCCAUACUUAGCGCUAAAAUCACAAAAAGUAUUUGUUUCAACAAAGGAUUUAACGCAAUCAAUCUUGAAAUUCAUACCUGACUCCUUACCUUCAUCAAGCUCCCAAUCUUCAGAGUUGCGUUUAAUUCUUUCCAAUAAAUUCCAUCUGAAGUUAAUAUCUCUCUUCAUAAAAGAACCGGUACAAGAAGUGUCAAGCAUGGUGCGAUCAUCAUGAGAAUGCCGAGCAUAGAAGUUCUGAAUGAUAAUAUCUCUCGAGAGCUCAUGAUUGGGGCAUGAAUAUAAAAUUUAUUUAAGCCUCCCCCAAGAUUGAGUGAUGCUUUCUCUGUCACGAGGCCAAAAAUUAUAAAUAUAAUUCUGAUCACGAUGUACUAGAUGGAUAGGAUAAAACUUUUGAUGAAAUUCCAAUUUCAACCAAUUGUAGUUCCAUGAUCCAGUAUCAUCACAUAGCCUAUACCAUGUCAACGCCUUAUCCCUCAAAGAUAAGGGAAAGACCUUCUUCUUGACCUCAUCCUCGCGCAAACCUGCAAGCUUAAAUAAACCACAAACUUCAUCUACAUAGAUUAGAUGCAAGUCUGGAUGUGAUGUUCCAUCUCCUGUAAAAGGAUUACCAGCAGUUUCUCAAGCAUACCCGAAGGAAAUUCAUAGCAAAUAUUUUCAGUAGGUGCAGCAGGUUGAGGAGCAGCUCGUUGUGCUUUUGUUCGAGGUGAAGAUACCCCGAACAAGCCCCUCAAAGGAUUAGUUUCGAUAGUGAUAAGUGACAAUAAAUUCAGCACACUAUAUAAAUGUUUCCUUACCAAAUUCCACUUACCAAAGGCACUUCACUUCCCCGGCAAUGGCGCCAGAAAAGAGUAUUGAUGACCCACAAGUAUAGGGGAUCUAUCGUAGUCCUUUCAAUAAGUAAGAGUGUCGAACCCAACGAGGAGCAGAAGGAUCUGACAAGUGGUUUUCAGCAAGGUAAUAUCUGCAAGCACUGAAAUUAUUGGUAACAAGUAGUUGUGUGGGGAGAUGAUUCCUAGCAAUUAGCAAUUAGAAAAAGUAACAACGGUGCAGCAAAGUGGCCCAAUUCCUUUUGUAGCAAGGCACAAGCCUGGACAAAGUCUUAUAGGAGGUAAAACGCUCCCGAGGACACAUGGGAAUUUCUAUCAAGCUAGUUUUCAUCAAGUUCAUAUGAUUUGCGUUCGUUACUUUGAUAGUUUUAUAUGUGGGUGGACUGGCGCUUGGGUACUGCCCUUACUUGGACAAGCAUCCCACUUAUGACUAACCCCUCUCGCAAGAAUCCGCAACUACGAAAGAAGAAUUAAGACAAAGUCUAACCAUAAAAUUAAACUAGUGGAUCCAAAUCAGCCCCUCACGAAGCAACGCAUAAACUAGGGUUUAAGCUUUUGUCACUCUAGCAACCCAUCAUCUACUUACUACUUCCCAAUGCCUUCCUCUAGGCCCAAAUAAUGGUGAAGUGUUAUGUAGUCUACGUUCACAUAACACCACUAGAGGAAAAACAACAUAUAACACAUCAAAUUAUCGAACGAAUACCAAAUUCACAAGACUACUUAUAGCAUGACUUAUCCCAUGUCCUCAGGAACAAAAGUAACUACUCAUAAAGCAUAAUCAUAUUCAUGACCAGAGAGGUAAUGAAUAGAAUCAAAGAUCUGAACAUAAACUCUUCCACCAAGUAAUCCAACUAGCAUCAACUACAAAGAGUAAUUAACACUACUAGCAACCUUACAAGUACCAAUCGGAGUCGCGAGACGGAGAUUGGUUACAAGUGAUGAACUAGGGUUUGGAGAUGAGAUGGUGCUGAUGAAGAUGUUUAUGGUGAUGAGUCCCCUCCGCUGAGAGGAGUGUUGUUGAUGACGAUGGCGACGAUUUCCCCCUCCGGGAGGGAAGUUUCCCCGGAAGGAUCGUCCUGCCGAAGCUCUAGAUUGGUUCUGCUCAAGUUCCGCCUCGUGGCGGUGGAGAAUCCUCCGAAAAGCCUCCUCUUGAUUUUUUCCAGACCAAAACCCUUCUUGUAGCAAAAGGGGGGAGCCAGAGGGACAAGUGGGAGCCCACAAGCCCCCUAGGCGCGUCCAGGGGGGCCGCGCCUAGCAGGCUUGUGGCCUCGUGCUGGCGCCCCUCUGGUACUUCUUCGGUCCAGUAUUUUUUAUAAAUCCCAAAAAAAAUCCUCGUUGAUUUUCACGGCUUUUGGAGUUGCGCAAAAUAGGUCUCUCAAACUUGCUCCUUUUUCAGGCCAGAAUUCCAGCUGCCGGCAUUCUCCCUCUUCAUGUAAACCUUGUAAAAUAAGAGAGAAAAGGCAUAAGUAUUGUACCGUGAAGUGUAAUAACAGCCGAAAAAGCGAUAAAUAUCAACAUGAAAGCAUGAUGCAAAAUGGACGUAUCAGUCACCAAGGCAGCAAUAAUAACAAUGAAUAAGGCACUAGAGCAAAAACUAAUUGGACCAAUUGAGUAGUCAUAUACCAAGGAACAAUUCCCCCAAAACAGUUUGGUGAAGGGGGAUUUGCACAAGGAGAUCGAAAAUCGCAGCAAGAAGAGCAAGAACAUGGGUUUGAGCUAUAGAAUGAAUUUUUCUGGAUGUAGGAGAAGGAGAUGGGAGCUGGAAUAAGUGGAGGGGGCCACGUGGGCCCGACAAGCCUAGUAGGCGCGACCAAGGGGUGCCCGCGCCUCCUGGGCUUGUGGCCCACUGGUGCAUCCGCCUGACUAGGUCUCCGUCUCAGAAUUUUUCAAAAAAUCCAGAAAAAAUCAUACUUGAUUUUCAGGGCAUUUGAAGAACUUUUAUUUUCGGGACACUUUUCUAUGGGACGCAAAAAGCAGAAAACAGGAAAAACUAAAGUUAUAUCUAUCAUUUUUCUUCUAAGAAACCGAAGGUAAAGGUUUGGAACACAGGGUUGUGACUCUUAGAUUCAUCCAUCUCAUGGUCAUCAAAAGAAAUCUGUCAAUGAGGUUGAUCAAGGCUCCUUGACAGACUUUUUCGAAUCGCAUAAAAAAAUGGAGAAUUUUCAAAUAGUCACUAGGUUACCUCAAUGGGGAUGUGCAUAUCCCCAACAAGCAAAUCAUACUUCAUCUUAACAUUAGGUAUAGGGCAUUCAAAGCUCCGAGUAAGAAUCGAUGAAGUUUUUUUAAAUAGCAUUGAUGCAAUGUACUCGAUAUUGUUUCUUCGAAAAGUGCACCGUAUGCUCAUUACCAUUGACGUGGAAAGUGACAUUGCCUUUGUUGCAAUCAAUAACAGCCCCUGCAGUGUUUAAAAAGGGUAUUCAAAGGAUGACCGCCAUGGCAUCAUCCUUGGGAAUAUCCAAAAUAGCAAAGUCUGUCAAGAUAGUAACGUUAGCAACCACAACAGGCACAUCCUCGCAAAUGCCGAUAGGAAAAGCAGUUGAUUUGUCCGCCAUUUGCAAGGAGAUUUCAGUGGGUGUCAACUUCUCCAAUUCAAGUCUACGAUAAAGAGAGAGAGGCAUAACACUGACACCAGCUCCAAGAUCGCAUAAAGCGGUUCUAACAUAAUUGCCUUUCAUGGAGCAAGGUAUAGUGGGCACUUCGGGAUCACCUAGUUUCUUAGGAGUUCCACCCUUGAAGGUGUAAUUGGCAAGCAUGGUGGAAAUCUCAACCUCAGGUAUCCUCCUCAUAUUAGUCACAAUAUCCUUCAUGUACUUAGCAUAAGGAUACAUUUUGAGCAUAUCUGUCAAACGCAUUUGGAGAAAGAAAGGUCUAAUCAUUUCAACAAAGCGCUCAAAAUCCUCGUCAUCCUUUUUCUUGGAUGGUUUGGGAGGAAAGGGCAUGGGUUUCUGAACCCAUGGUUCCCUUUCUUUACCAUGCUUCCUAGCAAUGAAGUCGUUCUUAUCGUAUCUCCUAUUCUUAGGUUGUGGGUUAUCAAUAUCAGUUGGUUCAAUCUCCACAUCCUUAUCAUUGCUAGGUUGAGCAUCAUCAUGAACACCACUAUCGAUAUUAUCACUAGGCUCGUGUUCAUCACCAGAUUGUGUUUCGGCAUCGGAAACAGAGACAUCGUUUGGAUUCUCGGGUGUAACAGCAGCAGGGUUGCUAGUGUGCAAGUUCCUAUCAUCUUUCUUUUUAUUCCUAGGAUGACUAGGUGCAUCAGAGCUAACUCCUUGAGAAUCUUGUUCAAUUCUCUUAGGAUGACCCUCAGGAUACAAAGGUUCCUGGGUCAUUCUACCGCCUCUAGUGACGACUCUAACAGAAUUGUCAUUCAACUCAUUGAGCAAGUCAUUUUGAGCUUUAAGUACUUGUUCUACCUGAGUGGUGACCAUAGAGGCAUGUUUACUCAAAAGCCUAAGGUCAUUGACAUUUCUAUCCACACAAGCACUUAAAUGACUAAGCAUGCGAGGAUUCUGUUCCAAUUGUCUGCUGACAUAAUCAUUGAAACUUUGUUGUUUGUCAACAAAGUUAUCAAAUUCAUCUAGGCAUAAGCUAGCAGGCUUAUCAAAAGGAAUAUCACUCUCAUUGAAUCUACAAAGAGUAUUUACCUCUACUACCUGUGUCGGGUUAUCAAGACCAUGGAUUUCUUCGAUAGGUGGUAGAUUUUUGACAUCUUCAGAUUUAAUGCCUUUCUCUUUCAUAUAUUUCUUAGCUUCUUGCAUAUCUUCAGGACUAAGGAAUAGAAUACCUCUUUUCUUCGGAGUUGGCUUCGGAGGUGGUUCGGGAAUAGUCCAAGCAUUCUCAUUGCAUAAUAUAUUAUUCAAUAGAAUCUCAGCUUGUUCCAUAGUUUGUUUCGUGAAAAGACAAUCAGCACAACUAUCUAGGUGGUCCCUAGAAGCAUCAAUUAGUCCAUUAUAGAAGAUAUCAAGUAUUUCAUUCUUCUCAAGAGGGUGAUCAGGCAAAGCAUUCAGCAGCUGGACAAGCCUCCCCCAAGCUUGUGGGAGACUCUCUUCUCCAACUUGCAUAAAGUUAUUUAUUUCCUGCAAGGCAGCUUGUUUCUUAUGGGUAGGAAAAUAUUUCUCAGAGAAGUAGUAGAUCAUAUCCUGGGGACUACGCACACAACCAGGAGCAAGAGAAGUGAACAAAGUCUUAGCAUCAUCCUUUAGCGAGAAAGAAAACAACUUAAGGAUAUAGUAGUGGCGGAUCUUUUCCUCACUCGUGAAUAGGGUGGCUAUAUCGUGCUCCUUAGUAAGGUGCCCUACAACCGUUUCAGACUCAUAACCAUGAAAAGGAUCAGAUUUGACGAAAGUGAUUAACUCAGGGUCGACAGAGAAUUCAUAAUCCUUAUCGGUCACAAAGAUAGGCGAAGUAGCAAACUUCGGGUUGUAUUUCAUCCUAGCGUACAGAGAUUUUUCUUUCCACUUGCGCAGUAAUUUCUCAAGAUCAUAGCUAUCCAUACAAGCAAGAAAGUCCUCAGCUAUCUCUCCCUCCAUAACAUAACCCUCAGGUAUAUCAGGCAAUUCAUAUCCAGGAGAGCUAGUUCUAACAGGUGAAAUAGCAGGUUCUACUUCAAUAAUCUCAUCAGUUUCAGAAGUAUCAUCACAUUCAGCAGCAACUCUAGCAAUUUGUGCAUCUAGGAAUGCACCUAGUGGCAAAGUAGUAUCAAGCAAAGCAUCGUCACAAGCAUCAUGGAUAGCAGAAGUAGCAUCAUCAAGCACAUGCGACAUAUCAAAAAAUUUAGCAGGAGGUGGUGUCACAAACUUACUCAUAACUGAAGGUGAAUCAAGUGCAGAGCUAGAUGGCAGUUCCUUACCUGUCCCCGUAGUUGAGGGCAAGACUUUACUUUUUGGAUCUCUCGGAUUCCUCAUAGUGAUCAACAGACAUAAAUCCCAAGUGUCUCAGAGAAUAGUGAUAUGCUUCCCCGGCAACGGCGCCAGAAAAUAGUCUUGGUAACCCACAAGUAUAGGGGAUCGCAACUGUUUUCGAGGGUAGAGUAUUCAACCCAAAUUUGUUGAUUCGACACAAGGGGAAGCCAAAGAAUAUUCUCGAGUAUUAGCAGUUGAGUUGUCAAUUCAACUGCACCUGAAAGACUUAGUAUCUGCAGCACAGUAUCAGUAGCAAAGUAGUGUCAUAGCAACACUAGCAAUGGUAACAGUAGCAGCAGUGACAGCAGUAGCGGUAACAGUAGCAGUAGUGACAGCAAUAGCAGCAAAGUAACGUAGCAAGGACCAGUAGGAAAAACUCGUAGGCAUUGGAUCGGUGAUGGAUAAUUAUGUCGGAUGACAUUCAUCAUGCAACAGUUAUAACAUGGAGAGAUAUGUAACUAGCUCCAGUUCGUCAAUGUAAUGUAGGCAUGUCUUCCGUAUAUAGUCAUAUGUGCUUAUGAAAAGAACUUGCAUGACAUCUAUUGUUCAUCCCUCCCAGGCAGCGGGGUCCUAAUUUAAACUACGGGAUAUUAAGGUUCUCCUUUUAAUAGAGAACCGGAACAAAGCAUUAGCACAUAGUGAAUACAUGAACUCCUCAUACUAUGGUCAUCUUCGGGAGUGGUUCCGGCUAUUGUCACUCCGGGGUUGCCGGGUCAUAACACAUAGUAGGUGACUACAACUUGUAAGAUAGGAUCAAGAACACACAUAUAUUGACGAGAACAUAAUAGGUUCAGAUCUGAAAUCAUGGCACUCGGGUCCUAGUGACAAGCAUUAAGCAUGGCAAAGUAGUAGCAACAUCAAUCUCAGAACAUAGUGGAUACUAGGGAUCAAUCCCCAUCAAAACUAACUUGAUUACAUGAUAGAUCUCAUCCAACCCAUCACCGUCCAGCAAGCCUACGAUGAGAUUACUCACGAACGGUGAAGAGCAUCAUGGAAUUGGCGAUGAAGGAAGGUUGAUGAUGACGACGGUGACGCUCUCCCCUCUCCGGAGCCCAGAACGGACUCCAGAGCUGCCCUCCAAAGGUAGAACCGGUGGUGUCCGCGCCUCCGUAUCGUAAAACGCGAUGAACUCUUCUCCUUGAUUUUUUUCGGGCAAAAGGGACUAAAUAGAGCUGGAGUUGGAGGCGGUGGAGCCCUGAGGGCCCCACAAGCCUGCUAGGCGCGGCCAGGGGGCGCGCCUCCUGGGCUUGUGGGCUUCUCGCUCCACGCCUCCGGUUGAUUCUUGCGCCAGUAUUUUUUAUAUAUUCCACAAAAAAUCCUCAUAAAUUUCUAGGUCAUUCCAAGAACUUUUAUUUCUGCGCAAAAACAACACCAUGGCAAUUCUGCUGAAAACAGCGUUAGUCCGGGUUAGUUCCAUUCAAAUCAUGCAAAUUAGAGUCCAAAACAAGGACAAAAGAGUUUGGAAAAGUAGAUAUGAUGGAUACGUAUCAGCCUAUAGUUGCGAUAUGAGGGCUACAAAAGCAGAAAUCCACGAGAAUACUGUAGAAGAUUUAUCAACAACCGAAGAGAAUCGGCUAAGUAAAAAGGAUGGAUAGACCAAACAACCAGAAAUAGCAUCCCAAUCGGCAGAUCUAGUCGAAAAUCCAGGCAUAAUCGAGAGAGAUUCACCUACAACCGAGCCAAAUCGAGCCUACACAACCUAGACUGAAGGAACGAGCAGCAAUCGACAAUGGACAAUAACGCGUUGACCCACAGAUCUACUUCGAUCCAUCCAAACUACUAACAGCAAUCAAUCAGAAGGAUAAAAACCUACAAGGCCUGAUGAUAAUAAUCUGUGAAGAGGAUAAAAAUCUACAAGGCCAGCACGCACCCGAUCCGGCCGCAGCAGGCAGAGGUUCCACGACAUGGAAGGGUGUCACCGCAGUUCGAUCACGCGGCCCGAGGGAUCUGGGGGGAUCGGAUACCUGGUGGAGGCGGAGGGUGUCGAGGAGCGCGAUGAGGUCCCCGACGACGUGGAAGGCGGUGUAGGAGCCGGGGUCGGGCGGCGCGGAGGUGCCCCUGUAUCCACGGAGAUCACGACCACCGCAGAUCCGUGCGCGUGGCGGAGGAGCCCAUGUCCAUGCAUGACGCGGAGGAGGUCGAGAUCUGGCGCCCACCUUCGUUGUUGGAUCUCGCACAGGGAGGCACGACAUCAUGGUGGAGGUGACGGUUAGGACAAGGGGAGGGGAGGCGCUCCCAACGCAGCGGCAACCAUGGAUCUCCAUGGAGCGUGUGGCCCGCGGUGUGGGGGCGGAGGUGGCUCGACUGCCCUUUUCCGGUGUGCGGCGUGCGGCGUGGAGGCGAAGCUGUGAGCGUGUGUGGACGACGAGGUGUGAGGCCAUGAGGAAGGGCUGCGGAAGGUGGUGGUGGUGGAGGCGAUGGGGAAAAGGGAGCGGCAGAAGCAGCGGCGAUGGGAUAAGGGAGCUAGGGUUUUGUGGGAUGAGAGGGACACAGGGUGAUUCGGGAGGGGAUGAGAGCGACGAGGGGGGUGGGGGCAGCCGUUGGACCCGAGCGCAUCCAACAGCGGUUAAUCCAUGAUCCGUGUGAGAUGAUUUUGGACCAAUCACCUUUUGAUGACAUUAAGACCAUUUAAAUUGGUCGUAAUCGAUUGAACAUAAGAUGUUAAAUCAUGUGUGAUAUUUGACGGUCUAGAAAAUAUAUAGAAAUAAAAAACCUUCGCCUUGUGUCACCAAGUGUGACCUACUUUUCAAUAAAAAUAACAAACUUAUAAAAUGCAAAUAUCAUAAAAAAAAAGUGUUGUCACAAAUGAGUUUUUUUAAGAAAAUCAUUUUUUGAGUGCGCAAAAUGAUUUUGUAUGAAGAACCUACCAAAUAUUUGUUGCAAAAUUGGACUCCAUCGAUUUUAUAAAAUACUAGUACAUAUUUAAUAUACAAUUGACCAAAUGGUUGGGUGUCAAAAGCUUUUAUCCACCUCCCGUGAAAAACAAAAAAUUUAUGCCGAUUCAGGUGGAAGCACGUCAAAUUUGAACCGCAACUGCCUCAUAGUUUGCUAUUUACUUUUUUCAAAAAACAUUUCUAGGUACAGAAGUAUCUAUUUUUUGAUAUAUACUCCAAACUUUUUGCAAAAAUCAAUCCCUAGCUACGAACGGUCAUACCCGCCGUUUUCACCGUAUUUUGAAAUGGGCAUGAAAAAUUCAAAACAAAUCAAAAAAUUGGAAAACCUUCGCAUUGUGUCGUUAUAUGUGAUAAAGUUACCAAGUAAAAUAAUAAACUGGUAAUAUGGCAAUUAUUUUUAAAAAGUGUUCUUAGAAAUGGGUAUCAUGUGUGAAGAUUCAUGGCUUUCAAUCCAAAUGAUCAAUCUUAUGGCCAGAUUCAUGACAUAGUUUGUUGAAAUGAUGUCAUAUUGUGCACAAGGAUACAUAUUGAAAUGGCAAAAAAUGUUGCCUAAGGAAGUUUUCAUUUUCUUUGGACGGAAAAAUCAUUUUCCAUUUUUCGAGUACCCAAAAUGAGUUUUUUUGUGAAGGACCUACCAUAUAUUUGUUGCAAAAUUAGACCAAAUCAUUUUUCAAACAUACUAGGACAUAUUUAAUGUACACUUGACCAAAUGGUUGGGUGUUAAAGGCUUUUAUCGACCUCUCGUGAAAAACACAAUUUUUCGUUGAAUCAGAUGGAAGCGGGUCAAAUUUGAACUGCAGCUACAUUAUAGUUUGCUCUUUAUUUUUCCCAAAAAUCAUUUAUAGGUACACAAAUAUCUAUUUUAUCAGAGAAACAACAAAAUAUUUCCAAGAUUCAACCACUAGGUAGGAACGGUCAUUCCCGCUGUUUUGACCGCAUUUUGAAAUGGCCAUGAAAAUUAAAAAAAAACAAAAAAUGGAAAACAUUUGCAUGGUGUCAUUAUAUGUGACAAAGUUACGAGGAAAGAUAAUAACCUUGUAAUAUGACAAUUAUUUUUAAAAAGUGUUCUCAGAAAUGGGCUAUCAUGUGUGAAGAUUCAUAGGUUUCAAGCCAAAUGAUCAAUCUUAUGGCACAUUCAUGUCAUAGUUUGUUAAAAUGAUCUAAUAUUGUGCAUAUGGGUGCAUAUUGGAAUGGCAAACAAUGUUUAUUAAGGACUUUUUCAUUUUCUUGGGACGAAAAAUUCAUUUUCCAUUUCUCGAGUGCCCAAAAUGAGUUUUUUCAUGAAUGCCAUGCCAUAUAUUUGUUGUAAAAUUGUACCAAACCAAUUUUCUAAAAUACUAGGUCAUAUUUGAUGUACAAUUCAUUAAAUAGUUAGGUGUCAAAAGCUUUUAUCCACCUCUCGUGAAAAAUACAAAUUUUCGUCGAAUCAGGUGGAAGCGGGUCAAAUUUGAACUAUUUUUCCCAAAAAUGAUUUUUUAGGUACACAAGUAUCUAUUUAAUCAUAGAAACAACAAAAUAUUUCCAAGAUUCAACCACUAAGUAGGAACGGUCAUACCGACCGUUUUGAUCGCAUUUUGAAAUGGCCAUGAAAAAUUCAAAAAAAAAUGGAAAAACCUUUGCAUUGUGUGAUUAUAUGUGACAAAGUUACUAGGAAAAAUAAUAAACUUGUAAUACAACAAUUAUUUAAAAAAAUGUUCUUAAAAAUGGGUUAUCAUGUGUGAAGAUUCAUGGCUUUCAAGCCAAAUGAUCAACCUUAAGGCCACAUUCAUCACAUAGUUUGUUGAAAUAAUAUAAUAUUAUGCACAAGGGUUCAUAUUGGAAUGGCAAAAAAAGUUGAUUAAGGAAGUUUUUAUUUUCCUUGUAUGUAAAAAUCAUUUUCCAUUUUUCAAGUGCCCAAAAUGGAUUUUUUUUGUGAAGGACCUACCAUAUAUUUGUUUCAAAAUUGGACCAAAUCAUUUUCCUAAAAUACUAGGACAUAUUUAAUGUAAAAUGGACAAAAUGGUUAGGUGUUAAAAGCUUUUAUCCACCUCUCAUGAAAAAGACAAAUUUAUGAAAAAGACAAAUAGUUUGCUCUUUAUUUAUAUCAAAAAUCAUUCAUAGGUACAUAAGUAUCUAUUUAAUCAGAAAUACAUGGUGAAGUGGUUGACAUCGAUGUUUGGAUGGUGGUCGAGGGCACCGACUCCCGAGCGCGUGAACUUGCAUGCCAACCGCAUGCUCACCGCCUGACCGUGGCGUUGCCACACGUUCUGGGUGGAAUAGGCAUGUCUGGUGGGUUGGACAAUCCCUCCGUAGGUGUUAGGAAGAAGAAUCCAAUAGAAGAAUCUCAUGAGGAGACUGAACUAAGCUCAAACAUGAAUUAGCAGCCAAGUGUUUGAUUAGCGGUGCGGAUAAUGCACAUAGAUAAUGGGCCUAAAUUUUGGCUAAGGAUGAUCAUCUACUAAGGAGACUAUCUUGCAAAUAUUUAGCUCAAAUGGAUGAACCUAGGUGGCACUUUCUUUGCAAAGUAACACACUGUGUAGAAAUAUGGAUGUUGAAGCUGGGAUCAAAUGAUUGAAUGGAUUGAGCUGAAAUUUGGUGUAUGAUGUUAAUUUGGGCAUAUGAAGGCGGUGUAAAAAAAUUAUACCAUUUGGACAUGCCAAAGUGACACUUCCUUCAUAAUGUGUCAAUCUGGACAGAAAAUGGUAAUUGAAACUCGGCUCACAUAGAUGAUUGGAUUGAGCUGAAAUUUGGUUUAUGAUAUUAAUUUGGGCAUAUAAAGGCACUGUCAAAAAAUUAUACCAUUUGGACAUGCCAAAGUGACACUUCCUUCACAAUGUGUCAACCUGGACAGAAAAUGAUAACUGAAACUGGGCUCACAUAGAUGAUUGGAUUGAGCUGAAAUUUGGUGUAUGAUGUUAAUUUGGGCAUAUGAAGGCAGUGUAAAAAAUUAUACCAUUUGGACAUGCCAAUGUAACACUUCCUUCACAAUGUGUCAAUCUAGACAGAAAAUGGUAAAUGAAACUAGGCUAACAUAGUUGAUUGGAUUGAGCUCAAAUUUGGUGUAUAAUGUUAAUUUGGGCACACUAAGGCACUGUAAAAAUUUCAUGAAAUUUGGAUAAACAAAAAUUGUACUUCCUUCACAAUGCUCUCUACUGAACAGAAUAUUAGGAAAAUAUUGAGGGAAACUGGCUAAACUAAAUGAGCUAAAAUUUGGUGGAGUGAGGUUAUAUGGUCAGUUUCAUUCCGUGGUAAAUUUUCAUCAACUAUAAAGAAAUAUAAAAUGUAGUUGCUUCACAAACUGAAAAUAUUACCAGAAACAAAGAUUGCAUGAUGAGCUCACAUGGAUAGUUAGAUGGGGCUAAAGUUUUGUGGAGAGCUAUGUUUUGGGCACAUAGAAGAUGUGGAAAAAAUUCAACUCAUGAGGAUAUUCCUAUCUAGUACUUCCUUCACAAAGCUGUUAGCGAACACAAACUUUGAAAAUUUUCUACGAAAGAUUUACUAGGCAAAUGGUUACAAAAGUUUUCAUGAGGUAAUGAUUUGGAUAGAAAAGAGUGCCCAAAAAAUUUGAGGGUAAUCAAAGAAAUAGAAAUGGCACUUCCUUCACAAAGUGCUAUUCUGAAUAGAAUAGGGAAAUGAAUAUUGCUGAAUUAUUUUCGAACUAUAAAAGGAAGGGUUUUCACAUAUUUGAGGAAUAUAUGAUACAAAGUAUUUAUGAGAAUUUUUCGAGAAUUUUUGGAAUGGCAGAAUAGUAGGUUACUUCUCAAACUAGGCAAAAAAUAACACAUGGACAUGACAUGUAGGCAAAACUAAUGAUGUGGCACCUAGUCAUAGCUAUGACCAUCUAUAUUGGUCGUAAUCAGCUACAAAUCAGGCAACAAACCAGGGCUAUCCUCUUUACGACCAUUUCCAGUAAGAAAGUUACGACCUUUUUGAUGAAAAAGGUCGUUAGUUUUUGGGGUUAGGACCCCUCUAGACAGCUUACGACCAAUUGGUCCCAAAUGGUCGUAGAUUUACGACCAAUUUUGCGAGUGUCACUGACAGAAGGUCGUUAGUUGACAUAUUUCUUGUAGUACCUUAUAUGAUUCUAAUUGGGCAGGGUGCUUGGAUGACAGACGGUCAACUCGUGGAUUUGCUGUCUUUUUUGGCCCAAACUUGAUAUCCUGGUGUGCUAAAAAGCAGUCUACUGUCUCAAGAUCCAGUACGGAGGCAGAAUACAAAGCUUUGGCAAAUGCUACAACAGAAAUAAUAUGGGUCCAAUCUAUGCUAAAGGAACUUGCUGUGAAAACUAAAAAAGCUCCUUGCCUAUGGUGUGACAAUCUUGGUGCUACUUAUCUCUCCGCAAAUCCAAUUUUUCAUGCUCAAACAAAACAUAUAGAGAUUGAUUUUCAUUAUGUCAGAGAAAGAGUGGCUCAGAAGAAGCUUCAUAUUCGCUUUGUGCAUUCCAGAGAUCAGAUUGCCGAUGGAUUCACAAAUGCUUUGCGUGUACGAAGCUUUGAAGAUUUCAAGCAUAAUCUCAACUUGACUAAGUUAUGAUUACGGGAGGGUGUUAAACAUAUGAUAUCGACCAGGUUUAGGAGAUAUCGUAUAUACAUAGAGUUAGAGAUAGAUAGAGAUAGAGAUAGGUGGUUGUUUAAACAGACUUAGCUUACCUUAUCUCCUUCUUUUUUCUCCUCCAAGAUUGUAUCUCCAAAUCUUGUACGCAUGAUCAGGUUUGCACCCUGGCUAUAUAACACGUAAUCGUCUUUGGAGAUAGGGUAAGAGUUUUUGCCAUCACACACACCAGUGCUAGAGUAGUAUGUUCGUCCGCAUGGUCUACUGAAUUUGAAUAUAGUGUGCGUAAGCCAAAGCAUUACGAAACGGUUGGUGGUACAUGUUUGUGUGGGGAAGUCCAUCACCGUAAGUGUCUGUCUGUAUCACUACUGUGUUGACGGUCUGGUCAAUUUAAUGGGCGCACAUGCGUGGGCCAUAUCACUGUUCAUACUCGUGAAUACAUGUUGUUAUACAUGAGCAUGCACACAUCGCGAGAGGAGUGGUUACGGUCCAGAUUGCAGGAGCAUUUCGACGUGGGAGCCAAAAUGGAUUUCCGUCAAGAUCACCUGGACCCAGUACCCAAAACGCCGCUCCCCUUGGACAGGGGGUACUUGACCGACGAUACUUCCAGCGCAACUGGACGGGUGGAUUAUGCCGGGCGUGCAAUGGCACGUCUGGAUGCUUCCGGGGAAAUAAGUAUGCCUGCCGACAUGGGAAUGGGAAUGAUGAAAAGACGGAAAGCUAUGAAGCUGCUGGUGGCACGCGUCGCCUUGCUUGAUUCUCCUUGGACAGGGGUACUUGACCGACGAUACUUCCAGCGCAAACCAUUCUCUUCUCCCGGAUCGAUUCCUCGGCUUUCCCCUCCCCUCCCUUCCCUUCCUUUCCAUAAUCCCUCCAUUUAACCCCAUCCGCUUGCCUCGCUCUGCCUGCCUCAUCCUCGUGCUUAAGCUUCUCGCCAUCAGCUGGAGAGACAUCUCGAGCAGAGCAACAGGAGGAGCCACAGCUUCAGCCUUGUGGUACGUACGCUGGUACGGCUGUUUUCCGAGUAGACAGAACUGAUAUGUACGUACUCAGUGAGAUGCUUUCUUUCCCUCCUCGUUUUUGCAGGUCGCACAUAUACAGUAGGCGGCGCGCGGCAAGAUGCAGAUGGUACUGGUGAUCUCGCUGCCCCUGGUGGCGCUGGUGGUGAUCAUCGCCAUCAUCCUCUGCAUCGUCUGCCGUUGACCAGCCAGGCAGCUAGCUCGCGCGCGGCUUGCCGGAUGUAGCACCAUGUAGCCUCCUAGUCGGUGUUGUUGCCGCGCCCGUCUCAUGCUGUCGUGGUGUGUUUUGUCUGCAGCCCUGCUCGGUGUGUGUGAUCUUUUCUCCUGCUAGCUUCUCGAUGUGAAAUGUACUAUUGAUUGAUCCAUGUGUCUGGUCGUGUGUGUGAGUGUGUUAGUACAGUACAUACUACUACCAGUCUACCAUGUAAUGUAAGCUCUUGACUUGUCUCAAAAAAAAAAAAAGUAAGCUCCUGAUGAUUCUUCAGAUAUUGGUGAAAAGCAGAGUGUGAUCCUGCUCCCGCCUUUUUCCUUGUCAUACUUCGUGAGAAUGUGUGUGUUAUAUGUCGAAAGACGUUUGCCUCAUAAACUGAACCAGCCUUCUUUCCUCUCAUCAAUGAAUUUGACAGAAUAACU
Molecule: long non-coding RNA, 45053 nt
Filed under: Hordeum vulgare
Lineage: Eukaryota; Viridiplantae; Streptophyta; Magnoliopsida; Poales; Poaceae
Description: long non-coding RNA (HVUL_LNC001231)
Source: RNAcentral